AACAGGCUGGUGUUUCAUGAAAGCCCACCAAAAGGCCCAAGUGCUAACAACCUCACCGCAGUUGCCACUGUGCGUCUGUGCUACCCCCCUAAAAAAACUGUGCUGGCAAAAACCGUACCUUGUACAAAUUUAUUGUCGAGAAUUUUUUGUGCAAGGAAUUUAUUUUCUCCCUCAAGUUAAACAAAAGGGCUAACGGAGUUAUCCAUACAAGCACACACGAAAAGAGAAGAAAAAAAAAACGAUUGCUCAUCUCAACAAGCACAACGGAGCAAGUCCAGACCCGAGUUUGAGCCUCCGCCUGUCAACGGAAUUGACAAGUUUCCUCCUCUCCUUGUUUAUAUCCCAAGAGUCCCUGACCACAGCCAGGUAUGUCUCCCAGCAAAAAUGGUGCUGGGACUUGCUUGUACAGCAAAAAAGCUCUCAUGCGGCUGAUGUUGCCCCCUCCCACUUGUUCACCACCUCUUUCAACUGCUCAAAUCCCUGAAAUGCAACAGACGGGUAAGACAGGAGUAAGCAAGUGUUCUGGGUUGUUGCUAGGCAGUGGGCACAAGUACACUAGCACCUACUACAGGCUAUGUCGACACACAUAUUGCUCAGCUUAGGCAUUUCCCGGUAUCAAAACUAUUGUUAACUGCCAAGCCAUAUCAAUUAGUCCAGCGCUUAUACUGAUGACAACUAACAGAAAGCAACAAUUUAACAAUCUUGCUAGUUUGUACUACCCUCUGUACACUAAUGUNNNNNNNNNNNNNNNNNNNNNNNNNNNNNNNNNNNNNNNNNNNNNNNNNNNNNNNNNNNNNNNNNNNNNNNNNNNNNNNNNNNNNNNNNNNNNNNNNNNNGUGGUUAUCGAGGGUGAUUCCUCUUUCACCAUUCCCGAUGACGCCUCUGUCGUGCAACCCCUCAAGUGUGGGACCCUCGAGGGUGAUUCCUCUAAGCCCACCUUGACGGGUACAUCAUUCGGAAUCCAACGAGGGUGACACCUCGGAUUCCCCCCGAUGUUACAACCACACAGUUACUCGACCAUGUUACUGGGAUCAUUGGUGCUUAGUUGUAAGACGGGUGGAUUCCCGUGAUACUGUGUUGCUGGCCUAAUUAAAAUGCUAAUGGAUUUGGGUAUUUGAUCUGGGUUGGUCGGAGACCUUUUCGCACUAACCGGCUACGCGGGAAGAAUUAUGGGUACUCGGCGUCGCGGUAUCAGCCGAAGCUUUUCAGAUGCCAGCAAUGUAGCGGCGCGCGCCCGAGUGGUCCCGAGAUGCAUCGCGCUUGUGAUUAAGGGAUGCUAGGACUGACGUCGGCCGCCCACGCCACGUGCAGGAGCGUGAAGGGGAACUGGGCCCACGAACCCUUUGUGCUUAGGAUUUAGACCGGCGGGCUGGCCUCUCUGAUUAGUCUUAGGUGGGGCUGCGACAUGUCGAUAUUCCGAGGCCGGACAAGACCCAGAAAAGUAUGUCCGGCCAGAGUGUUAUCGAGCGUGACGGGACAUGUGGUGCACCCCUGCAGGGAUGAAAAUUAACUAUUCGGAUAGCCGUGUCCACGGUUACAAAACGACUUGGAGUUGUGCCCCGAUCUUUUACAACUACAAUUGUAACUUAACUGGAAUUAGUUUGCCUCGGGAUUGCUUCCUCGCAGGGAGUCGAGGGAGGAUCUUUAGGCGUGACCUCACUUUAAUAUUGCUGCAACAAUAUGACUAUUUAUGUUUUACCCCUGUUCUACUCUCGUAUAUUGCUGCAAGACCCUGAAGAUGCUAGUCUUUGAUAGGACUAGGCCUUCUCUCUCUAUUCUCGCAUUGCUGCAGUCAGUCCACAUAUACACCCCCCCUUCUUUGAUACUGAUGCAUAAUUAGAAUAGUUCUGAUGUAAGACUUGCGAGUACUUUGGAUGAGUACUCACCGCUGCUUUGCUUCCCCCCUUGUCCCCUUGAUCCGUUUGCUGCGACCAGAUGAUGGAGCCCAGGAGAUGGAGGUCCCCGCCGCCGACGACUGCUACCCCGACGGUGCCUACUACUACGUGGAGGCCGCUGAUGAUCAGGAGUAGUUAGGAGGUUCCCAGGCAGGAGGCCUCGCCUCGUUCGAUCGUUGUAUCUUUUGUGCUAGCCUUCUCUAAGGCACCCCAUGUUGUUUUAUAUCUGUACUCAGAUAUUUGUUGCUUCCGCUGACUCGUGUGUUUAUCNNNNNNNNNNNNNNNNNNNNNNNNNNNNNNNNNNNNNNNNNNNNNNNNNNNNNNNNNNNNNNNNNNNNNNNNNNNNNNNNNNNNNNNNNNNNNNNNNNNNUGUAUUAUAACUCUAACACCCCCCCUCAAACUCAUGGUGGAUGAACAACACUGAGUUUGGAGAGAUAAAAGCCAUGUUGUGCUCUAGUCUGGGCCUUCGUCAGGAAAUCCGCUAACUGUAACUCGGAAGGCACAUACUGAAGAGCAACAACCUGAUCCUGCACAGCAGCGCGCACAUAGAAAGCAUCAACACCAAUAUGCUUGGUGAGCUCAUGCUUCACAGGAUCGCGCGCAAUGCUAAUAGCACCUGUACUGUCAGAUAAGAGCAGAGUCGGUGUAGUGACAGAAACACCAAAAUCCUGAAGUAACCACCGUAACCAAGUCACCUCUGCCGCCAAAAGAGCCAUCGCUCGCAACUCAGCCUCUGCACUCGAACGGGAAACUGCAAUCUGUUUCUUCGUCUUCCAGGCAAUGAGAGAACCACCAAGAAAAACACAGUAAGCAGAAAGUGAACGGCGAUCUGAAGGAUCACUAGCCCACGUAGCAUCCGAAUAGGCCUGAAGCUGUAAUGAACUGGAGCGAGGAAAGAAUAAACGAUGAGAGAUUGUGCCCCGAAGAUAUCGGAGAACACGGAGGAGAUGACUAUAGUGAACCGAUGUGGGAGUAGAGACAAACUGACUCAGAAUAUGAACCGGAUAAGAAAUAUCCGGACGAGUGACAGCUAGAUAAACAAGACUGCCAACAAGAUGACGAUAGCGCGUCGGGUCAGGCAGGGGAUCACCAUCAGUAGCAGAGAGGUGAACAUUGAGCUCCAUAGGAGUCUCAACAAUGCGCUCAUCAGUAAGAGCAGCACGAGCAAGAAGAUCCUGGAUAUACUUUUUCUGGGAUAUAAAAAAGCCAUCAGAGGUAGAAGAGACUUCAAUCUCAAGAAAGUAGCGAAGAGGUCCAAGAUCAGACAUAAGGAACUGCUCACUAAGACGAGCCUUGACAAAGGCAAUAUACUCAGGGUCAUCCCCAGUGAUGACCAUGUCAUCAACAUAAAGAAGAAGAGUCCGACCACGAGGAGAAAGGUGAAUAAACAAUGCUGGAUCAUGAACACUGGGUGAAAAACCAACGGCAGUCACCACAGAGGCAAAACGCUCAAACCAGGCUCGGGGGGCUUGCUUAAGGCCAUAGAGAGAGCGACGAAGACGGCAUACCAUGCCAUCAGGAACAGAAUACCCAGGUGGAGGCUGCAUGUACACCUCCUCACGCAGCUCACCAUUAAGAAAAGCAUUCUUAACAUCAAGCUGAGAGAUAGACCAGUGGCGUGUAGAGGCCACGGCAAGAAGUGUACGAACAGUGGUCAUAUGAGCCACAGGAGCAAAAGUCUCGUCAUAAUCACAACCAUGCUCCUGCUGAAAACCACGAGCCACAAGACGAGCUUUGUGACGCUCAAGAGAACCAUCGGAGCGAGUCUUUACCUUGUAGACCCACUUACAAGUGAUGGGACGGACUCCAGGAGGAAGGGAAACAAGAUCCCACGUACCUGUGCGUUCAAGAGCAGCAAUCUCCUCAGCCAUCGCAAACUGCCAUUCAGGUUGAACAACAGCCUGAUGAUAAGUAGUCGGCUCAAGAACAGCAGCUCCAGCGGUGGAAAAUCCUAAGCGAUCAACAGGCGGACGAGGACGAGAACGCAAGCCAUAAGUAGGCUGAGACGAGGAUGACGGCACAUCCAGAGAGGCAUCCACAGAACGUGAACGGCGAGUGUAACACUGAGUAAAAGAUGGAACAAUGGAAGGAGGAAUCGCUAAAGUAGAAUCGGAGAGUGGCGACGAAGAAGUCACCGGAGAUGAAGGUGUAGAAUCCGGUGACAUGCUAGACGAGGAGACCGUGGAAGAUGGUGGCGACAAAUCGACUGGAGGUGGAGAAGCAGAGGGAGCGGAAUGAGUAGGCAAAGGCUCGACGAGUGUGAUAGGCGUGUCAGGAAAAGUGAGAAAAGAGAUAUCCUCCACUGAAAAAGUCGAGGAAGAUGGGCGUGGGUAGAAGGGACGAGACUCAUCAAAAGUCACAUCCCGAGAGAUAUGUAUCCGACGACCGAUAGGAUCCCAACAACGAUAGCCCUUAUGCUCAUCAGUAUAGCCUAAGAAGACACACUCAACAGACUGAGUGGUCAGUUUGGUGCGUUCGCGGGGGGCAAGAAGAACAUAGCAAACACAACCAAACAAGCGAAGCGUCGAAUAAUCGGGAGACCGAUCAAAAAGACGCUCGAAGGGAACACCACCCUGUAGAGCAGCGGAAGGCUGGAAAUUGAUGAGAUAGGUGGAGGUGGAGACAGCCUCAGCCCAAAAAUGAGGCGGGAGAGAGGCAGCAAUCAUCAAUGCACGAGCCGUCUCAAGAAGAUGACGAUGCUUGCGCUCAGCCACGCCAUUCUGAGCAUGAGCACCAGGACAAGAGAAUUGAGAGAGAGUCCCUUGCUCAGCAAGAACACCACGCAACAUCUUAGAGAUAUACUCGCCAGCGGAGUCAGCAAGAAACACACGAAUGGGAGAAGAGAACUGAGUAUGAACCAUGGCAGCAAAACGCUUAUAAAUGGACAACACCUCACUACGAGAAGUCAUGAAAUAAAGCCAUGUGUAACGAGAGAAGUCAUCGAUGAAAAUAAUAUAGUAUUUAUGACCCCCUUUCGAAGCGAAGGGAGCCGGACCCCAUACAUCGGAAUGGACUAAAUCAAAAGGACGCUUAGACACUGACUCACUAUGUGGGUAUGGUAACUGAAUCUGCUUGCCAAGACGACAACCCUGACACUCUAAGGAGGCAUCUCCUGAGACAGACCCCAAAAGACCUCGACGAACUAACGACGACAAACGAGAACCACACAGAUGACCAAGUCGAUGAUGCCACUGCUGGAAAGAACCAGUAGCCGAGGCGACCAAAGCGGAAGAACUGGCGAUAGAAUGGCCAGCGGAAGGAACAUGAAGCCAGUCCAACUCCCAAAGACCCUCAGAAUCACGGCGGCGAGGACCAGCCCCAACCAGAGUGUGCGUGCGACGGUCCUGGACAGAACAAGAGUCAAGAUCAAGGAUGACACGACAACCAGAAUCAGCAAGUUGACCAGCGGAAAACAAAUUCAUGGUAAGUCGAGGAACAUGAGCAACAUCGGGAACAGAAUAAGGAGUGGUAAGAGUGCCUCUACUAACGACAGGAAGGGGAGUACCAUCAGCAGUGAGGACAUGAACAGGAGAAUCAAGCGAACGAAGAGAGGACAUAGUGGAAGAAUUAGAAGUCAUAUGAAAGGAAGCUCCAGAGUCCAGAACCCAUGGGGAUGUACCUGACUGUGUAGAAGGUGGUUGCUCAGUGCGGGAAGCCUCAGUCACAGAACCAGCAGUACCCGUUGAGGAAGAACCUGAAGCAGCGAGCAGACGCUUAAGUCUCAGAAUAUCCUGCUCAGUGAAAGCGAUGGCUGAAGCUGUCGAGGUAGGUGACGAAGUCGCUGUAGAUGAUGACCGCGCCUUGCGCAAGUGUUUCUUCUUCAUGUAGCAUUGGGGCUCAAUGUGAUCAUCAUUGUUGCAGUAGUUACAAUGUGGACGGGGGCGACCUGAGCCGCCAGAAGGAGUGGGCAGGAGCGGCGGAGCACUCGAGCGAGAAGGGGUCGAUGCAGCAGGUGGCGUAGAAAAAGUCCGAGCAGCGAGCACCGAGGGAACCUCCAGCAAACCAGCACCACGUAAGCGAGUCUCCUCAGCACGAAUCUCAGAAAGCGCCUCCAUGAGAGAAAUACGGCCACGAGCAAACAACUGAGCACGCCGGGGCUCAAACUCCUUACGGAGCCGAGACAGGAACUCGUAGACGCGAUGAAACUCCAAGUCGGCCUGAACAGCCUGGCAACAGGGGCAAGUACGACAACCAGCACUGCGGAGAGAAUCAAGCUGGCGCCAGAUAGCAGAACUCUGUGCAUAGAAGUCAUCAACAGUAGAGUCACCCUGAUGAAGAGCAUGCUCUUGACGGACCACAGAGAGGUAUAAGGCAUCACCAGAGGGCUCAUAGCGCUGACGAAGGCGGGUCCACAUCUCAAAUACAGUAGGAAGACCCAGAAACUCAGAAGCAAACUGAGGCAGAACACUAGCAGUGAGAACAGCGGCAGCACGAGCAUCAUCAUCAAGCCACUGUGUGUAAACGGACAGAGCAUCACGAUACACCUGAAGAGCCUCCUCAUAAGCCAAGACCUUCUCAUCAUAAGCACUCACAGCGGCCUCAUCAGCAAGCUGAGUCGCAUCCUUUGCGGCCUGAGAAGCAUCCGCAGGAAGAGCCGGUGGGAUCGGCGGAGUGGGAGCCACGGGAGGAACCGGACAUGGCGGACAACAGACCUCGCCGGAAAGAAAACCCCAUAGGCGGAUGCCACGCAUGUGAAUGCGCAUGAAGCCAAUGAACUCGGUGUAGUUAGUGCCAUCAAAGAUCACCGGACAACGAGGAACAACAACAUAGCCGGAUGAAGCAGACUUUUUUUUUUUUUUUUUUNNNNNNNNNNNNNNNNNNNNNNNNNNNNNNNNNNNNNNNNNNNNNNNNNNNNNNNNNNNNNNNNNNNNNNNNNNNNNNNNNNNNNNNNNNNNNNNNNNNNNNNNNNNNNNNNNNNNNNNNNNNNNNNNNNNNNNNNNNNNNNNNNNNNNNNNNNNNNNNNNNNNNNNNNNNNNNNNNNNNNNNNNNNNNNNNNNNNNNNNNNNNNNNNNNNNNNNNNNNNNNNNNNNNNNNNNNNNNNNNNNNNNNNNNNNNNNNNNNNNNNNNNNNNNNNNNNNNNNNNNNNNNNNNNNNUUUUUUUUUUUUUUUUUUAGAAACAGAGAGCCGGAUCCAAUCGAGAUCAAAACGAGAUCAGGGCGGUGGCUGGCGGGCGCUGCAACGGGAGGACGAGAGCAGCGCUGGAUCUGGCGAAAUCAGCAGCAGGGGCGACGAAAUCAGGACCCUGGUUCGGCCUCGUCACUGGAAGCCGGCGAUGCAGUCGAUCUGGAGCUGGGCGACGGGAUCCGAUCUGNNNNNNNNNNNNNNNNNNNNNNNNNNNNNNNNNNNNNNNNNNNNNNNNNNNNNNNNNNNNNNNNNNNNNNNNNNNNNNNNNNNNNNNNNNNNNNNNNNNNUGUGACAUCCUCGACUUUUGCAACAGUAAUUAUUGUAAUUAAGCUACAGUGAUCAACCGCUAAUGAUGCCACGUCAUCGAAUUCCCAUCUCAGACCCGCGUUGAUUCGAGUCUGUCCGGAUCCAAAAUUUGAAAGCAAAAGAAAAGUACUUUAUGAGUUCAUUACAAAUAUUAAAAGAAUAUAUAUAAAAAGGAAAGUAUUAAAAAUAAUAAUGAAAAAAGGAAAGAAAGAAAUAAUAAAAAAAAGGAAAAAAGAAAACAAAAUAAAACAAAACAAAGCAACAAAAAAAAAGAGAAAACCCCCCACCCCCUGGCCUGGCUGGGCCAAGAGGCCCAACCGGCCAGAACCCUAGCGCCUCCCCCUCUGGCGAGGGAGCCCUGCCUCGCUCCCUCCCCUCCCACCGAGCGCCGCCAGCCUCCCCCUCGUGGGGGGCCCCACCCCCACCGACACACCCCCCCACCAACCGUCGCCCUAUCCCCACGAGAGAACCUCUCUCUCUCUCCCGUAACUCCCUCUCUCUCCCGUGACUCCCUCCCCCACGACUCUCCCCUCCCCUCGCAUCUCCCCUCCGCCCCGGCUUCCUUCUCCCACCGGCGAGCUCCCCCGCCGGCCCUCCUCUCCACCUCCUCCCCUCCCGCCGGCGGCCCCCCUGCCUCUCCUCACCGAGAAGCCCCCCUCCCGUCGGGUCCCUCCCGCCGGCGGCCCCCAUAUCUCCCGCCGGCCGAGGCCCCUUGUUUCACCCCGCGGCACCACCCCCCCUGGAGACCGACCCGAGGAGCCCCGCCGGUCGAGCCCCUCCCCGUCGGUAGCUCCAUCCCAGGGGCCCUCCUCAUCGGGGCCCCUCUCGGCAAGACCUCGCCGGCACGACUUCUCCGACGAUCGUCCUCACCGGCAUCACCACCGGAACCGCGCUGUCACCGUCACCGUCACCGCCUCGUCCGCCUCCACGCCGUCUCCUCCGCCCCUUCCCGCGAACUCCUGCUUCAUCGGCCCCUCCCGUCAACGUCGGUGAGCCCCUCCUCGGGCUCCUCCCACCAUGUCGUUCUCCUCGCCGUCCCGGUUCCGUUCCGGCAAACGAGGCUUCGAUCCGUCGAUGGUAGACUCCGGUGGGAAGGAUUGAACAUUUGGUUCUUCUAUGUGGAGUUAGCAGAGAACCUCUCUGUUAUAGUUGUUAACAGAGAGAGGGAGAUGAGAGUUUUGAGAGAAAAUAAAAAAAACAAAUGUUGUAUUCCAUAUGUAUGUAUGUAUGUAUUUGAUACCCGUAUUUAUGUAUGUAUUUGCGUAUAUAAGCAUGUGGAGAAAUACGACAUUUGUAUGGUUAUGUAUUCGUGAUUAAAAUGUGUUUUUUUGGCCUAGGGUCACUUACCGGUGGGGCCAACGCACCCGCUGUCUAUGAUAGGGAGGCCCCACGAGAUAGUUAAUAUAAAUAANNNNNNNNNNNNNNNNNNNNNNNNNNNNNNNNNNNNNNNNNNNNNNNNNNNNNNNNNNNNNNNNNNNNNNNNNNNNNNNNNNNNNNNNNNNNNNNNNNNNGAAUUCCACAAACGGCUUCCGAAAUUGAUGGUUUCUUGGAUCCACCAUACCUCAAGAGGUUCUGAAGCACCGCGAUUACCGACCCAUUUCAAGGGCAUGUUAUUGCCUAAUUCCUGCAGUGCAUAAUACUGUCAGUUACAGCUCCUCCUGCACCACAUCAUUUGAGAGGAUAAUCGUUGGUUUUACCUUAACCCUUGGAACUUCGUCGGCUCCACAACGAGAAACGCACUGCUUCUUGGCAGAUCUAUCACCGCACGGAGCCAGGAACGAGUUGCCCGCGCCCCGCUUCUGAUUCUUGUCUGGUUCGCCCUUGCCAGUGUCAGACAUCAUAACAGACGGGAUAUCACUGCAGCAAGGGCAAUAACAGCCUGAACUUAGCGCAAGACAACAAAGGUUCUUGGCACCGAAACAACAAAGAAUUGACGUCCUGCGGCAAUGGGGACAAGACCGGUUCUUGGCACCAAAACGACACGAACCGCUCACCUGCAGUAAUGGGACAGGAACUCCAUGGUGAACCGCUUCAUCUCCAGGUCGUCCCCGUAGUCCGUCGCCGGCGCCGCGGAAUUGCCCGCGUCGACAUUCAUCGCCGCGGCGGAAUUGGCGAUGUCGGAGUUCAUGGACGCCGCGAGGCUCCUCCGGGCGCCUGAGGGGGAGCCAGCCAGGGCAGCCGACGAGCACGCCGCCGCGGCGGCGGGAGGGGACCGGACCAGGUACCCCGCCAGGGACCCCUUGGCGGCCCCGGGGCUCCCAUGCUGCGACGAGGGCCUCCGCUUCUUGGCCGCGAAGAACUGGGGAGGGGCGGAUCCGGCGGGUGCUUAGGGCUUGGAGGUAGGAGACGGUAGGGAAGAGCUAGGUUUAGGGGUUUACCUGGUCGACGUGACCUCGGGAGGAGCCCGACGCCAUUGCGGAAGGGGGGCGGCGGUGCGGUUUUUGGUUUGAAACUUGGGCAGGAGCGAGCGAUUCAGGUGGGUGGGUGCUCUCUCCUUCUAUACUCUUGGUGCUCCGAGGGCUGAGGAACGUAUUCCCCUGCCUACGAUCCACUAGGCAACACCGUACGCAUCCAUAGGCCCCCACAAGAACUUACCCUACAUCUGUUUGACUUUUUUCUUUACCUUGAUAUGAGAUGUUUUUUAGACUAAUUUAAACCGCAAAACCGACUUAAUUAAGCUAUAGAGGUGGUAGCUGACAAGUCUACCGAACGAAAAAAGAAAAAGGUGUCUAAGGUUACCUAGGGUUUCUAGUCCUCUGGUGGUGCCCGCCGUGAGUUUUCCUUCCGGCUACCUGUUGCUCCCCGUUCGCCCAUCCUCCUCGCCAUCGCCGACCAAUGCUUCCUCGUGGCUGGUGUGGUGGUACAUCUAGGGUUUGGGGGCUCUUGAUCGCUUCAUGAGUUGGCAAGCCAGACGGAGGCAGGCGGCAGACGGAUCCUAGGAUCUGGAAUCCCCGAACAACAUAAUUGAACGGCUAAACUUGUAGAAUGAUGAGGUAGACGACAUCAUCUGGGAAGAUGACGUAUACCUGGCCAAACGGUAUAACUUGUAAAUUGGUCGUGGAGCUGAACGUGGGUACAACAAUGAUGAUGAUCAUGACGAGCUCAUAGAUCACGACCGUGGAAGAAGAGUAGGACGAACUAGGGGAGAGGAAGAUAUGGAAGAUAUGACUUCAAUGGUCAAGAUGUCGAUAAAAUAGUAAAUUGGAAAAGGAUGGUCUAACUAGAAAUACGGGGAUGGAGACGUAUGAUGCAAACAAAAGAUGGCGCUUUAACGCGCAAAAUGAACAUAACAGUGAUGAAGUAGAUGGAAGUUCAUCAUUUCUAUGGAAAAGGAAUGCCACUGAUCCGGUGAAUAAACCAAAGGAGUCAUGAGUUCCCUUGCUUAAAGGAAUAGGCUUGGUUGCGGAGAGGGUUGACAUGUUUAAUGGGAACACUGAUAAAUACAUCACGGAUUGGAAUUAUCUGGGCAAUAAGGUUGCCACACCCCAAACAUCAAUGGACAAAGAGAAACCGAGAGUGGAUAUUUGGAGGUGGUUCCGUCUUUAGAAGAAAAAUAUAGUGGCGGCCUCUAGAAAUGGGGGUUGCUAAGGAAUCAUGAAAACUAUCAGUUGGAACUAUCGUGGACUCCUCGGAGGCCGACAGUGCACACGCUUUUGGAUAUCCAUGGGCAACAUGGCCUAGAUGUGUUUUUUCUAUCGAAAACGCACAUGGACGAGGACAAUGCAGAAAGUUUGAUGAUAAAGCUUUGAAUGUAUCAUAAGAUGGUGGCUCCUAGUAAAUGGAGAAGUGGAGGUUUGAUGGUAGUCUUGAAGAAGGAGAUGAGGAUCUACUCCCGGACUAUGACAUCUGAUUUCAUUGAUGUUGAUGUUGAGGAAAAUAAUGGGAAUGUCUCGUACCUAAUUGGGAUCUAUGAUGAACCUAGUUCGGAUAAAAGAAGAACUUAUUGUUGGGGAACGUUGCAAAGGAAACAAAAAAAUUCCUACGCACACGAAAACCUAUCAUGGUGAUGAUCAUCUACGAGAGGGAGAUAGGAUCCACAUACCCUUGUAGAUCGCUAAGCGGGAAGCGUUAAGAAACGUGGUUGAUGUAGUGGAACGUCUUCGCGAUCCAAAUCAUUGUCGUCCCAUGAUAUGUCCCGAUCUAGCGUGAAACGGAUGGCACCUCCGCGUUUAGCACACGUAUAGCUCGACGAUGAUCUCCGCCUUCUUGAUCCAGCAAGAGGGGCGGAGAGGUAGAUGAGUUCUCCGGCAGCGCGACGACAUGACGGCGAUGGUGGUGGAGCUAGUCCAGCAGGGCUUCGCCUAAGCACCGUUGAAAACUAGACUAAAGGAGAAACGGAUCUAGAGAGAGGGCAGCACAUGGCUGAUUGUUGUGUCUCAAAAACCAUCAAAACCUCUAGUAUAUAUAGGAGGAGAGGAAAGGAGUGUCACGCCCAAGAUGCGACCCUAUCCUCAAUUUGGCACGAAGGCCUCGUCAGGGAUAGAAGCGCAUGUCGUCGUGUCGCAAGAAUGGAUAUCGUUACAAGUACAUGUACUGAAAAGAAGAGAUAUAUAUACAGAGUUGGCUUACACUCGCCACAAGCUACAUCAGAGUCACAUCAGUACAUUACAUAAUCAUCAAGAGUAAGAGCAGGGUCCGACUACGGACGAAAACAAACGACAAAAGAAGAACGACGUCCAUCCUUGCUAUCCCGGGCUGCCGGCCUGGAACCCAUCCUAGAUCGAUGAUGAAGAAGAAGAAGAAGCAACUCCAAAUGAACAAUCAACGCGCUCGCGUCACAUAACCUUUACCUGUACCUGCAACUGGUGUUGUAGUAAUCUGUGAGCCACAGGGGACUCAGCAAUCUCAUUUCCAAAGGUAUCAAGACUAGCAAAGCUUAAUGGGUGAGGUAUGUUUAAGUGGUGAGGUUGCAGCAGCGACUAAGCAUAUAUUUGGUGGCUAACUUACGAAUACCAGAAAUAAGAGGGGGAAGAUCUACGCAUAGCGGACGUGAACUACUGAUGAUCAAAUGAAUGAUCCUGAACACCUACCUACAUCAGACAUAACUCCACCGUGUCCUAGAUCGGAGAAGGAACUCACGAAAGAGACAAUCACGGUUACGCACACAGUUGGCAAGUUUUAAUUAAGUUAACUUCAAGUUAUCUAGAACCAGUGUUAAACAAAGCUUCCACGUUGCCACAUAACCGCGGGCACGGCUUUCCAAAAGAUUUAACCCUGCAGGGGUGCUCCAACUAGUCCAUCACAAAUUACCACAAACCGCAUAGAAAUCCUCAAUCACGAAGCUCGCGAUCUCGUCGGAUUCCCUAGUGGAAAACCUCAACUCUGAGAUUACCCAAAGCAUCACCGGAAUCCCGAUGCACAAGAUAUCUCGUCAAAGGUAAAACUAAUCCAGCAAGGCCGCCCGACGUGUCGACGAUCCCGAUAGGAGUCGCGUACCUCGUUCUCAGGACACGACGGAUGAGCUAGACGUCGGGAUCGCUAAACCUCCGGGUGACCAGAGGGGCGCCGGACAUCGCUCAGGUAGGACCAACACUCAUGAGGAGCACUGGCCCGGGGGUUGAUUAAAUUAUCCUCGGGGUCCGGAAAGUCCCUAUGCAAUUUUAUUAGGUGUUUAGGCAAAUGUAGUACCAAAGUUGGGCCUUGCCAGACCAGCUUUAAUCUAAAACGAAUUAUCCAGGGGGUCCCCAUAACAACCCCGAUCGUGUUAGGAGCGCUCAUUUAUGGAACAUAACACCGGUAGCCGGAACUAAGGGGGCAAAGGUGGAACAAAACACCAGGCUAGAAAGGUCGAGCCUUCCACCUUUUACCAAGUAUAUAGGUGCAUUAAAUUAAAUAGCAUUUAAUAUGGUGAUAUAACAAGGAACCCAUGCUUUCACAUGGAAGCAACUGCACCUGCAACUAGCAACGCUAACACAGGGUUAAGCAAGCGGUAACAUAGCCAAUCAGUGGUUUGCUAGGUUGAACAGGUUGAAGGUUAUCAUGGCAUUGUUGAGAGGCUGAAUUUAACAUGUGGUAGGCAACGAGACAUAACGACAGAAACAAUAAAACUAGAAUGGCAAUGAUAGUAAUGGUAUCUGGGGAAAUGAUCAUCUUGCCUGAGAUCCCGCUUGGAAGAAGAAUGCCUCCGUGAAGCAGACGAACCGACGUAGUCGAACGGGUCCUCACAAUCCGACACGCUUCCGGAACUCUAACGAGACGGGGAAAACCGGAAACAAGAAUCAACACUCGAAUUCACCACAUGAUGCACAACACAAAUGAUGCAUGAGCAGCUGAAUACAUGCAAGUCACGGCAUGACAAAUCACACAAGCAGUCACUACACAUUAAGUGAAGUUCAGUAUGCAACAAGUUGCAUAUUGACGAAACUCCACGUUUAUUUAUUUAGUUCUAUCCCGAUUAGAUACACGGCAAUAUUAAAUGUGGUUAAACAUGACAAGAGGUGAAGCGUAAUUAAACUAACUAUCUAGGCAUUUUAAAUGAGAUCGGAAAUGACAUAUAGCACCUCCGAGACGACCUCACAUGUUAAUUUACGAUUCUGUCCAGAUAUGAACUAACACAUUUAAUUAGUUGUUAAACACCAAAACAAAUAGGUUCACGUGAUUCAAUGCGUCAUUUCAAGAAAUCUACACAAAAAGAACAUCUCCAACGGAGCUAUGGUUCAAAAGAUACAAGCACCGCAAGAUAUGAUGGCAUGAAUGCAAUAUGUGUGCAAUGACAGUCACGAGCACUUCAAAACAUACAACCAGCAAGAGAAAAUGAAACUACACGAGAUUCUAAGCAAGUUUCAUAUAGGACUCGAUCAAAACGGAACUACGGUUCAACAACUACGAGCAAAACAAGAAAUCAUUACAAACUGCCAAAAUCAGCCACAUAGCAUCUUCUACGCCCCACAACUACGGGCUACACAACUCCGAUAAACUCAAACAAGGCAUGACACGAAAGAGGACAAGAAGCACUACUACAAACAACUAACAACAACUAGCAUGGCAUCAUGGAUCACUAGGGAAAAAAGACACAAAAGGGCAUCUCACACACUAUUUCAGACUUGGUGAAAAUUACACCUCAUGAAGGUGCAGUUUUCGAUCUGAAGCCAUAUUGACAGCAGCAAAACCAUAAGCUACAGGAAACCAAAUGGCAUGAAACUUCACAGCAUGCUAGAGAAACACAAGGGGUACAACUAACUCCAUUGGACCAACCUCAAAAGAGCUACAGAUCACAAGAUGCAAGCAAGACAAGACAGCAACAAAAUAUAAGAGAUUCCAGACUUAGAAAUAUUUCAGCUCCUCUAAAACACCACAAUUUCUAGCAACUUGAGAGCAAGAAAAACACACCUAAACAUGCAUUUCUAUUGCAACUAAAAAAUACCAGGGGCUAGACAAAACAUCCAGGAUCAACUCUCUAGUUGACAACUCCUUUAAACGAAGCACGGAAUAAAUCCUACAAAAUAAACAAAAGGGCAUCACGGCAAAAUACCGCGCGAACUAACUUGCUCAAAAGCUAAAACUAAUUGAUUUUUCUACCCCGGAAACAUAUAAAAUAUGUGGGGUUUGCAACACAAAAUAAUGCCGCACAUAAAUGCGAGAAAAUAACCUAUACGCGGAAAAAUAAAUUACCGGCAAAUCCCUACACGUAAAAAUACUAAUGACCGCUCUAAAAUACAUGCAAAAAUGAUUCCUAAAACAUGGGCAUUUCUACUACGGCAUACGAGCAAUCCGGACUUGCACGAAAAUUAAAUACGGGGCGUGUCCUAUUGAAACAACACGCAAAACUAGGCAUUUGGCACGUUAAACUACCUCAAAUAAUUAUGCAAGUUUUAGAAUCGGAUUCUACGCGUGAAACUACACGAAAUCCAUAUCUAAUUCCUCGGGAUCCGACUUACAGAAUAAAAUUUACACGCGUUGUAAAAUCCUCUAUUUUCCUGAAAAUUCUAAACUCACAGGAAAAGAAAUACAAAAAAAACACUACGGGCCGGAACUACUAGCGCUAGAUGCUAUCUUGCGCCACGGGCGAGGGUUAUACGAUGGGAGGCCUCACCUCGCGGGCCUUGGCCCGGCUCGUGGAGGAGGCUGAGGGCGGUGCGGCGCUGGUUGGGCCGGGAGGGGUUGGCCAACUGGGCCUGGCUUGGGCGCCACCUGGGCCGCGCCAGCGCAGCACUGGAGGAGGCCCACGAUUCCACCGGUCAACGGGGCCACGCGAACGUUCUGGCGAACCAGAUCGGGGAGGAGGCGGCGACUGGGCCUCGCGGUCAACGCGAUGCUCGCGGCUUGGGAACGAUCCCUCGUCCCGGUCCGGCUCGGGACCGAGAGGAGGCGGCAAGAGCUGGCGGCGGGGAACCUGGAGAGGCGGCGACGGGUGCUGGCGGCGGGGAUCUGGAGAGGCACGAAGCAGGGCGGACCGGCGGCGCUCGGAUGGUUCCGGCCGUCCGGGAUCCAUUCCCGUCGACGGCACACGCGGCGGUGAGCGGCAGGGACGCGCCGGAGAGGCUGCCGACGGGAGGCACGGGGCGCUCGCGAGGAGCAGGGCUCGGGAGCUGCUGGCCUGGCAGGAAGGAUGAAGGAAGGCGGCGCGGCGAGAUGCAGCGGGGCGGCGCAGGAGGGGGGCCCGACGGCCAAGGCGGCCGGCGGCGGCACGACGACCAGUGGGAGGUGCUCGGGCAGGCAGGGCAUGCUCCUACGGGAGGAGCUCGGGGAGAGGGAGAAUCCCCUGUGGUCGCCCGGACAUUGUCCACUAGAGUGGACAUUGUCCGGUAGGUGAGAUUUUUGGGCAAAUCUGGGCCUUUGGAUGGAUAUCCAAUGGUCCAGAUCUGACCUAAGAUUGGAUUUCGGGGAGAGAGGAGGUGGAGCUAGCAGGUGGGGUUUUUCUAGGGGGCUGGCUGCAAAAAUGACUAGGGGAAACGCUAGUGGAGUGAGAGGGUUCUCUCUAGGGGGUGCUACUUAUAUAGGAUUGGUCUCUCGAGGGGUGGACCUCGACCGUCCGAUCGCGAUUCGAAGACCAUGAACGGAGGAAGUGGCUAGGUGGAACUAGUGGGCUGUGUGGAGCGGUUAUCCGGAGACGAGAGGGAAAAUGGGCAGUGCGGCAACGAAUUUUUAAACACUGACAUAUGUCCGACGGUAGACCGAAUACGGUGCCGCUACGGUCGACCGUUCGGGUACCAGACGGACUCCGAUCGCGACGAAACUUGACAGGCGGCCUAGCUAUAUUAAAAUAACACCGCACGUCAAAUCUCAACCCGAUCAGGGAAAGUUUAACGCACACUUUUAAAACAGGGUUUCGACGGUGCCGCGGGCGCGUGCGUGUGCGGUCGGACUCAGAACAAACAACGACGAGAACCGGCAACUAACAACGGAUGCAAGUUUUGAAAACGGGCGGCAACGGAGACGCCGAUGCAAUGCAGAUGAUGCGCAUGAUGCGAUGAUGAUGCGACAAAUAAAAAUAGACACACGACGAAAACGGAAAGAGAGGGGAAUCUUCGGGAACGUCGGCAUCGGGCUGUCACAAGGAGGCAGCCUUGGCCCCUCCUCCGAAGAGAGGGUCGGCCGAACCAAAGGAAGAAUCCACCUUCCUUGUGGGAAGGUGGAUCACUUUAGAAGGUGGACUACUUUGGGAGGACUCCUCCUUCCCUUCCUUUUAAAAGUCCUUUACCCUUUUAUAUCUUCUCCUAGCCGCAUGGGCCUUUGGGAGAGGCUUUGUCCAGACCACUGAUACAUCUCCGUCAUAUCUAUAAUUUUUGAAUGUUUCAUGCCAAUAUUCUACAACUUUCAUAUACUUUUGGCAACUUUUUAUACUAUUUUUGGGACUAACAUAUUGAUCGAGUGCCCACUGUCAGUUCCUGUUUGUUGCAUGUUUUUUGUUUCGCAGAUUAUCCAUACCAAACGAAGUCCAAACGCAAUAAAAAACCUAUAGGGAUUUUUUUGGAAUAUUUAUGAUUUUUGGGAAGAAGAAUCAACGCGGAAUGAUGCCCGAGGGGGUCACAAGCCCCCUAGCCGCGGCCUGGGGGUGGGGCCGCGCCUGGCGGGCUUGUGACCAAUCCCUAAGGCGGUUGGGGGCCUUCUUUCGCCACAAGAAAGAUAAUAUCCGUAAGAAAAUCAUGUUAAAAUUUUAGCUAAAUCGGAGUUACGGAUCUCCGGGAAUUUAAGAAAUGGUGAAAGGAAGAAUCUGGGAGCGCAGAAACAGAAUGACACACAGAGAGAGAUCCAAUCUCGGAGGGGCUCUCGCCCCUCCGCCGCCAUGGAGACCAUGGACCAGAGGGGAAACCCUUCUCCCAUCUAGGAAGGAGGUCAAGGAAGAAGAAGAAUAAGGGGGGCUCUCUCCCCCUCUCUCCCGGCGGCACCGGAACGCCGCCCGGGACAUCAUCGUGUGACGGCGAUCUACACCAACACCUCUGUCAUCUUCACCAACACCUCCAUCACCUUCCCCCAUCUAUAUUCAGUAGUCCACUCUCCCGCAAACCGUUGUACCCUCUACUUGAAAAUGGUGUUUUAUGCUUCAUUAUUAUCCAGUGAUGUGUUGCCAUCCUAUGAUGUCUGAGUAGAUUUUCGUUGUCAUAUCGGUGAUUGAUGAAUUGCUAUGAUUGGUUUAAUUUGCUUGUGGUUAUGUGCUACUUCUCAAACAACAGCGCCAGAAAUUGACACGUUGACGGAGACUUGCUUGCGUUGGUUUUUCCCUUGAAGAGGAAAGGGUGAUGCAGCACAGGAGCAGUAAGUAUUUCCCUCAGUUUGAGAACCAAGGUAUCAAUCCAGUAGGAGAAUCUCGUCAAGUCCAGAGUACCUGCGCAAACACAAAAGAGAUUGCACCCAACGAUAUAAAGGGGUUGUCAAUCCCUUCAAGAUUGAUUGCAAAGUGAGAUCUGAAGGCGGAAAGUGCAACGAAGAAAAAGAGUAAGGCUGAAAAUAUGGUGUGAAGUAGACCCGGGGGCCAUAGUGUUCACUAGAGGCUUCUCUCAAAAUAGAAAAUAUUACGGUGGGUGAACAAAUUACUGUCGAGCAAUUGAUAGAACCGCACAAAGUCAUGACGAUAUCUUAGGCAAUGAUCAUACAUAUAGGCAUCACGUCCGAGACAAGUAGACCAAUACUUUCUGCAUCUACUAUUAUUACUCCACACGUCGACCGCUAUCCAGCAUACAUCUAGUGUAUUGAGUUCAUGACGAACAGAGUAACGCCUUAAGCAAGAUGACAUGAUGUAGAGGGAUAAACUCAAACCAAUGAUGAAAACCCCAUAUUUUUAACCUUGAUGGCAACAACACGAUGUGUGCCUCGCUGCCCCUUCUGUCACUGGAUGAGGUCACCGCACAGUAUGAACCCAAAACCAAGCACUUCUCCCAUUGCAAGAAUCAUAGAUCAAGCUGGUCAAACAAAACCCACAACUCGAAGAGAAUUACAAGGAUAUGAAAUCAUGCAUAAGAGAGAGAAGAAACUCAAAUAAUAUUCAUAGAUAAUCUGAUCAUAAAUCCACAAUUCAUCCGAUCUCGACAAACACACCGCAAAAGAAGAUUACAUCGGAUAGAUCUCCAUGAAGAUCAUGGAGAACUUUGUAUUGAAGAUCCAAGAGAGAGAAGAAGUCAUCUAGCUACUAGCUAUGGACCCAUAGGUCUAUGGUGAACUACUCACGCAUCAUCGGAGAGGUCAUGGUGUUGAUGAAGAAGCCCUCCGUAUCCGAAUCCCCCCUCCAGCAGGGCACCAGAAUGUGCCCCAGAUGGGAUCUUGCGGAGUCAGAAGCUUGCGGCGGCGAAAAAGUGUUUUCGUGGCUCCCCUGAUUUUUUCUGGAAUUUAUGGGAAUAUAUAGGCGAAAGACCUAGGGCAGAGGAGGCCCAAGGGGCCCACAAGCCUGGGAGGCGCGCCCCCCUGGCCGCGGCUAGGGGGCUUGUGGGGUCCCUGGUGGGCCCCUCACUUGGUUCUCAAGUCCCCGAUCGUCUUCUGUUUCGGAAAAAAUAUUUUUGGAAGUUUCAUUCCGUUUGGACUCCGUUUAAAAUCCUCCUCUGAAAAAGGGUCAAAAACACGGAAAAAACAGGAACUGGCACUUGGCACUAAGUUAAUAAGUUUGUCCCAAAACAGAUAUAAAAGGCAUACAAAACAUCCAAAGUUUGACAAGAUAAUAGCACGAAACCAUAAAAAAUUAUAGAUGCGUUGGAGACGUAUCAUUAUGUUGUUGUCCUUUGGUGCCCAUCAUAUGAGCGCGCGCGUGGAUCACACCAUAGGGUUAGUAGUAUGUUGAUAGGACUAUGUAUUGGAGGGCAGGGGUGACAGAAGCUUCAGCCUAGCAUAGAAAUUGAUGCAUACGGGAUUGAAGGGGGACCAAUAUAUCUUAUUGCUAUGGUUGGGCUUUACCUUAAUGAACGUUAGUAGUUGCGGAUGCUUGCUAAUAGUUCCAAUCAUAAGUGCAUAGAAUUCCAAGUAAGGGAUGACAUGCUAGCAGUGGCCUCUCCCACAUAAAACUUGUUAUCGGUCUAGUAACAUAGUCAAUUGCUUAGGGACAAUUCCGCAACUCCUACCACCACUUUUCCACACUCGUUAGACUAACGUAAUUGUUUCUUUAUCUAACCAGCCCCUAGUUUUUAUUUACGUGUUCUUUAUUUUCUUGCAAACCUAUCCUUUCUCGUCUACAAAGUACUUCUAGUUUCUUACUUGUUCUAGGUAAAGCGAACGUAAAGUGUGCGUAGAGUUGUAUCGGUGGUCGAUAGAACUUGAGGGAAUAUUUGUCCUACCUUUAGCUCCUCGUUGGGUUUGACACUCUUACUUAUCGAGAAAGGCUACAAUUGAUCUCCUAUACUUGUGGGUUAUCAACCACCAGGGGCUGGUCCACCUCUUCUCAUAGCCCACAAGGCUCUUGGGUCGUCACACCCCUCCCGGUGGUCCCCAGGCACCCUCUCGGCACUCUCAAUACACUACUAAUGAGCCCGAGACCUUUCUGGUGACCAAAACUAGACUUCCUAUAUAUCAAUCUUUACCUAUGGACCAUUCCGGAGCUCCUCGUGACGUCUAGGAUCUCAUCCGGGACUCCAAACAACCUUCGUUCACCAACACCUAUAACUCAACUAUACCAAAACAUCAUCAAACCUCAAGUGUGCAGAUCCUGCAGGUUCGAGAACUAUGCAGCCAUGACCGAGACACUCUCCGGUCAAUAUCCAAUAGCGGGACCUGGAUGUUCAUAUUGGAUUCUACAUAUUCUACGAAGAUCUUACCGGUUGAACCUCUAUGUCAAGGAUUCACACAAUCCCGUAUACCAUUUCCUUUGUCCUUCGGUAUGUUACUUGCCCGAGAUUCGAUCGUCGGUAUCGACAUACCUAUUUCAAUCUCGUUACCGGCAAGUCUUUUUUACUCGUUUCGUAAUACAAGAUCUUGUGGCUAACUCUUUAGUCACAUUGCUUGCAAGGCUUGUUUGUGAUGUUGUAUUACCGAGUGGGCCGCGAGAUACCUCUCUGUCACACGGAGUGACAAAUCCCAGUCUUGAUCCAUGCUAACUCAAUGAACACCUUCGGAGAUACCAGUAGAGCACAUUUAUAGUCACCCAGUAAUGUUGCGACGUUUGAUACACCCAAGUCAUUCCUCCGGUGUCAGCGAGUUACAUGAUCUCAUGGUCAUAGGAACGUAUACUUCACAUGGAGAAAACAAUAGCAACAAAAUAACAUGAUCAUAUGCUACGUUUAUAGUUUGGGUCUUGUCCAUCAUAUCAUUCUCCUAAUGAUGUGAUCCCGUUAUCAAGUGACAACACUUGUCUAUAGGCAGGAAACCUUGACCAUCUUUGAUCAACGAGCUAGUCAACUAGAGGCUCACUAGGGGCAGUGUGUUGUCUAUGUAUCCACACAUGUAUUUGAGUUUCCAAUCAAUACAAUUCUAGCAUGGAUAAUAAAUGAUUAUCAUGAACAAGGAAAUAUAAUACUAAACAAUUUAUUAUUGCCUCUAGGGCAUAUUUCCAACAGUCUCUCACUUGCACUAGAGUCAAUAAUCUAGUUCACAUCACUAUGUGAUUGUAAUGAAUCUAACACCCACAUAUUUGUGGGGUUCGAUCAUAUCUUGCUUGUGAGAGAGAUUUUUAGUCAACAGGUUUGAAUCUUUCAGAUCCGUGUGUGCUUUACAAAUAUCUAUGUAAUCCUAUAGAUGCUCCUACCACGCGCCAUUUGGAACUAUUCCAAAUGUCUGCUCUACUAUAUGAAUCUGGUUUACUACUCAGAGUUAUUCGGAUUAGUGUCAAAGCUUGCAUCGAUGUAACCCUUUACGACGAACUCUUUUAUCACCUCCAUAAUCAAGAAAAAUUCCUUGGUCCACUAGUAACUAAGGAUAACCUUUGACCGUUGUCCAGUAAUCCACUCCUGGAUCACUUUCGUACCCCUUGACAGAUUCAUGGCAAGGCACGCAUCAGGUGCGAUACACAACAUAGCAUACUGUAGAGCCUACGGCUAAUGCAUAGGGGACGACCUUCAUCCUUUCUCUUUCUUCUGCCGUGGUCGGGCUUUGAGUCUUACUCAAAUUCACACCUUACAACACAACUAAGAACUCCUUCUUUGCUGAUCUAUUUUCAAAUUCCUCAAAAACUUGUCAAGGCAUGCAUUUCAUUGAAAGUUCUAUUAAGCGUUUUGAUCUAUCUCUAUAGAUCUUGAUGUUCAAUGUUUCAAGUAGCUCUAUCCAGGUUUUCCGUAAAAAACUCCUUUCAAACAACCCUUUAUGCUUUCCAGAAAUUCUACAUUACUUCUGAUCCACAAUAUGUCAACCACAUAUACUUAUCAGAAAUUCUAUAGUGCUCCCACUCACUUCUUUGGAAAUACAAGUUUCUCACAAACCUUGUAUAAACCCAAAAUCUUUGACCAUCUCAUCAAAGUGUAUAUUCCAACUCCGAGAUGCUUGCUUCAGUCCAUAGAAGGAUCGCUGGAGCUUGCAUACUUGUUAGCAUCCUUAGGAUCGACAAAACCUUCUGGUUGUAUCACAUACAACCUUUCCUUAAGGAAACCAUUGAGGAAACAAUGUUUUGACAUCCUAUCCGCAAGAUUUCAUAAAUAAAUGCAGCAACUGCUAACAUAAUUCCAACAGACUUUUAGCAUCGCUACGAGUGAGAAAGUCUCAUCAUAGUCAAGUCUUUGAACUUGUCACAAACAUCUUUGCGACAAGUCGAGCUUUCUUAAUGGUGACCUUUCACCAUCAUCGUCUGUCUUCCUUUAAAUAUCCAUCUGUACUUAACAGUCUUACAACCAUCAAGUAGUUCUUCCAAAGUCUACAAUUUGUUUUCAUAUAUGGAUCAUCUCUCGGAUUUCAUGGCCUCCAGCCAUUUGUCUGAAUCUGGGCCCACCAUCGCUUCUCCAUAGUUCGUAGGUUCAUUGUUGUCCAAAAGCAUGACCUCCAAGACAGAGUUACCGUACCACUUUCGAGCAGUACGUGACCUUGUCGACCUACGAAGUUUGUAGUAACUUGAUGCGAAGUUUCAUGAUCACUAUCAUCAUCUUCCACUUCAAUUGGCGUAGGCGCCACAGGAACAACUUCUUGCGCCCUGCUACACACUGGUUGAAGUGACGGUUCAAUAAACUCAUCAAGUUUCCACCAUCCUCCCACUCAAUUCUUUCGAGAGAAACAAUUUCUCGAGAAAGGACCCGUUUCUAGAAACAAACACUUUGCUUCCGGAUCUGAGAUAGGAGAUGAACCCAACUAUUUUGGGUAUCCAAUGAAGAUGCAUUUAUCCGCUUUGGAUUCGAGCUUAUCAGGCUGAAACUUUUUCACAUAAGCGUCGCAACCCCAAAAUUUUAAGAAACGACAACUUAGGUUUCUCCAAACCAUAGUUCAUAUUGUGUCGUCUCAACGGAAUUACGUAGUGCCCUAUUUAAAGUGAAUGCGGUUGUCUCUAAUGCCUAACUCAAAAACAAUAGUGAUAAUUCGAUAAGAGACAUCAUAGUAUGCACCAUAUCCAAUAGGGCGCAACUAUGACGUUCGGACACACCAUCACACUAUGGUGUUCCAGGCAGCAUGAGUUGUGAAACAAUUUUCACAUUGUCUUAAUUGUGUACCAAACUCGCAACUCAGAUAUUCAUCUCUAUUAUCAUAUCAUAGACAUUUUAUCCUCUUGUCACGAUGAUCUUCAACUUCACUCUAAAAUUACUUGAACCUUUCAAUAAUUCAGACAUGCAUUUUAUCAAGCAAAUACACUAGUAUCUACUCAAAUCAUCUGUGAAGUUAUAACAUAACGAUAUCCACUGCGUGCCUCAGUACUCAUUGGACUACAUGCAUCAAAAUGUAUUACUUCCAAUAAGUUACUUUCUUGUUCCAUCUCACUGAAAACGAGGCCUUCAGUCAUCUUGCCCGAGUGGCAUGAUUUGCAUGUCUCAAGUGAUUCAAAACCAAGUGAGUCCAAGCAAUCCAUCUACACGGAGUUUCUUCAUGCGUUUACACCAAUAGGCAUGGUUCUCAUGUCUCAAACGAUUCAAAAACGAGUGAGUCCAAAGAUCCAUCGGUAUGGAGCUUCUUCAUGCAUUUUACACCAAUAUGACUCAAGCGGCAGUGCCACAAGUAAGUGGUACUAUCAUUACUACUUUGUAUCUUUCGGCAACAAUAUUAUGAACAUGUGUAUCACUACGAUCGAGAUUCAAUAAACCAUUCAUUUUAGGUGCAAGACCAUUGGAGGUAUUAUUCAAAUAAAUAGAGUAACCAUUAUUCUCUUUAAAUGAAUAACCGUGUUGCGAUAAACACAAUCUAAUCAUGUCUAUGCUCAACGCAAACACCAAAUAACAAUUAUAUAGGUUUAACACUAAUCCCGAUGGUAAAGGGAGCGUGCGAUGUAGUUUCAUGAAGUAUCCCUUCUUGCCCUUGCCCUUCUUGAAACUAGUGGUUUUACUAACCAUCAACAAUUGGUGCUCCUUUUUUAUUUCUACUUUCGGAGUGUCAAAAUAGUGAAUAGCUCAAGGAUCAUCAUAUCUAUCUCUGAUGUGUUAUAGUUCACCACGAAGCUCUAGUAGCUUGGUGGCAGUGACUUUGGAGAACCAUCACUAUCUUAUCUCGAAGAUUAAUUCCCACUCGAUUCAAGCGAUUGUAGCACUCAAACAAUCUGAGCACAUGCUCAAUGAUUGAGCUUUUCUCCCUUACUUUGUAGACAAAUAAUCUUGUCGGAUGUCUCAUACCUCUCAACAAGGGCACGAGCAUGAAAUCACAAUUUCAUCUCUUGGAACAUAUCAUAUGUUCUGUGACAUUCAAAACGUCUUCGGCGCCUCAAUUCUAAGUCGUUAAGCAUUACGCACUGAACCAUCACGUAGUCAUCAAAAACAUGUAUGUAAGAUGUUCACAACAUCCACAGACGACGCUCAAGCUUCAGCAGACCGAGCGGUGCAUUAAGGACAUAAGCCUUCUGUGCAGCAAUGAGGACAAUCCUCAGUUUACGGACCCAGUCCGUAUAAUUGCUACUAUCAACUUUCAACUAAAAUUUCUCUAGGAACAUAUUUAAAACAGUAGAGCUACAACGCAAGCUACAACAUAAUUUGCAAAGACCUUUUGACUAUGUUCAUGAUAAUGAGUUCAAUUAAUCAUAUUACUUAAGAAUUCCCACUCAAAUAGACAUCCCUCUAGUCAUUCGAGUAGUGCAUGAUCCAAAUUCACUAACUCAAGUCCGAUCAUCACGUGAGUUGAGAUUAGUUUCAAUGGUGAACAUCUCCAUGUUUAUCAUAUGAACUAUAUGAUUCAUGCUCGACCUUUCAAUCUCUUGUGUUCCGAGGCCAUGUCUGUACAUGCUAGGGUCGUCAAGUUUACCCGAGUGUUCCGUGUGUGCGGCUGUUUUGCACAUGUUGUAUGUGAACGUUGAGUCUAUCAUACCCGAUCAUCACGUGGUGUCUCAAAAUGACGAAUUGUCGCAAUGGUGCACAGUCGGGGAGAACACAAUUUUAUCUUGAAAUUUUAGUGAGGGAUCACCUUAUAAUGCUACCGUCGUCCUAAGAAAAAUAAGGUGCAUAAAAGGAUUAACAUCACAAGCAAAUCAUAAGUCACAUGAUAUGGCCAUGAACUUGUGCUUCUUCAUCUCUAUCACCAAAGCACCGGCAUGAUCUCUAUCGUCAUCGGCGCCGCACCAUGAUCUCCAUUAUCGUGCUUCCAUCAAGGUUGUCGCGCUAUCUAUGAUGUUACUACUAAAGUUGUUGCCUAGCGAUAUAGCAAGAGCAUGUGCAAGCGCAAAAUAAAUUUAAAGACAACCAUAUGGCUCCUGUCGGUUGCCGUAGCAUCGACGUGCAAGUCGAUAUAUUGAACUAUUACAACAUGAUCAUCUCAUACAUCUAAUAUAUCAUAUCAUGUCAUUGGCCAUAUCACAUCACAAACAUACCCUGCAAAAACAAGUUAGACGUCCUCUAAUUUGUUGUUGCAUAUUUUACGUGGCUGUUAUGGGUAUCUAGUAUGAUUGCAUCUUACUUACGCAAUGCCAUAACGGUGAUAUGCAAAUUGCUAUUUAACCUUCUCCAAGGACCGCCUUGGUCAAAUCCAAUUCAACUAAAGUUGAAGAAACAGACACCCGCCAGUCAUGGGCCGCUUCAGUCCAACAAUGUUGCCGAAUCAAGAAAAGACUCGGGAGGGCAGCAAAUUGAACAUCAACGCCCACAAACUCUUUUGUGUUCUACUCGAGAUAUCAUCUACGCAUGAACCUAGCUCAUGAUGCCACUGUUGGGGAACGUUGCAUGGGAAACAAAAAAAAUCCUACUCACCGAAGACCUAUCAUGGUGAUGAUCAUCUACACAUACCCUUGUAGAUCACUAGGUGGGAAGCGUUAAGAAACGCGGUUGAUGUAGUGGAACGUCUUCGCGAUCCAAAUCGAUGCCGUCCCACGAUCCGUCCGAUCUAGCGCCGAACGGACGGCACCUCCGCGUUCAGCACACGUACAUCUCGACGAUGACUUCUGCCUUCUUGAUCCAGCAAGAGGGGGAGGAUAGGUAGAUGAGUUCUUCGGCAGCGCGACGGUGUGACGGCGAUGGUGGUGGAGCUAGUCCAACAGGGCUUCGCCUAAGCACCGCUGAAAACUAGACCAGAGGAGAAACGGAUCUAGAGAGAGGGCACAACGUGGUUGAUUGUUGUGUCUCAAAAACCCUCAAAACCUUUAGUAUAUAUAGGAGGAGAGGAGAGGAGGCAUCCUUGGCCCCUCCUCCAAGGAGAGGGGUCGGCCGAACCAAAGGAAGAGUCCAACUUCCUUGUGGGAAGGUGGACUACUUUGGGAGGACUCCUCCUUCCCUUCCUUUUAAAAGUCCUUUACCCUUUUAUCUCUUCUCCUAGCCGCAUGGGCCUUUGAGAGAGGCUUGGGCCAGCCCACCAGGGAAUGGUCCACCUCUUCUCACAGCCCACAAGGCUCUUGGGUCGUCACACCCCUCCCGGUGGUCCACCGGCACCCUCCCGGCACUCCCGGUACACUACCGAUGAGCCCGAAACCUUUCCGGUGACCAAAACAGGACUUCCUAUGUAUCAGUAUUUACCUUCGGACCAUUCCGGAGCUCCUCGUGACGUCCAGGAUCUCAUCCGGGACUCCGAACAACCUUCGGUCACCAACACCUAUAACUCAACUAUACCGAAUCGUCAUCAAGUUUUAUGACACGGUUGCUCUGUUGAAGGCAAGAUGACCAUUGCGGAUGGCAACAAAGAAGAUCAUGAGUUUCGCUUCUUUUUACUCAACUUGGAUUUAAUCAUUCAUUCACUUAAUGUGCUUUACACAAUGUAUAGCCAGUACGAUUUAUCAUGGGAUAGAGGGAUGGCAUUGGUUAGAAGCUUAAAAAAUCUUUUUACUCGAAUGUUGAGGCAUCUAUCUUCAGGCCCAGCCCUGAGGGGGGGCGAGCGGGGCGGCCGCCCCGGGCCCCCAUGUGCCAAGGGGCCCCCAAUUCUGCUCUUAGUUGGCCUAGCACCUAGCCUAGAAUGCCGAUAUAUUUAUCCACUCCUGCAAUCUUUUCCUUGAUUUACGUACUCCAACAAGAGAAAAUGGGCGUCCAACUCCUGCAAUCUUUUCCCAAAUUUUUCUCACCUUCCUUCAUUCGUGUGCUAGUAGUACGACUCAGGGCCCUUGUGAUUGAUUACUAGAGCAGUUAGUGCAUGCAAUUAAUUCAGCGUAGUUGUGAUAAAAAAUCCGCUCUUAUUUUAUUCCUUAAUCUUGUAGCAAAAAAUGCCUUCCUUAGUCCACAUGCCUAAAGUUAUGCACCUAAUUUGUGAGAAAAUUAGAAAAACAUAACUAAUGGAAAGUGACAAUGCCACACAUGAAUGAGAAUAGAUCAAAAUCGUGAUCGUGAAGAAUAAAUCAAGAUCGGGAAGCUUAAUAUCCAUCUACUAUGCGUGCAUGGUGCCGCCUCAGGUCAGAGCAGGUCUAUUUCGAAGGAGGGCUGGACUGCCGGAGAUAGUGAGCACGACCUCGCACAAGACAACACGGACUCGCCGGGAGGCUAGAUCGUACUGUUAGGGUACGAUUACAAUUAUAGAAGCAAAGGUAUGUCUCUAAUCAUUAUUUGUACCGAUAGUCUAUGACCUAGCUAGGAAAUUUUAUCAUGAUGGUAUGAAUGAUCAUCGACAUGGCCUCUGCGCUGUUGCAAUUGGAUACUAAUAAUCGAUUUAUGAGUAUUGUUAAUGGAUAGAUAAAAUUGGAUUUGAUUUUUUUGUUUGGCAACUUGCUUGUAAUUGCUAUGGAGGUACACACUAGUCUGAAAUCUAAAUGGAUGACAACGUGAGUGAUCAUUGGGAGUUAAAUCAUGGAAGAGGUCCAUUUUGAACCCUGAACUCGUACAUGUCUGCCGAAAUUGACCCCCAAGUACAAAUCCCUGUCGAUUGCACCCUGAAGUAACAAAUCCAGAUUUAAAUCUAACCUUAGAGUGGUUUGAUGCUAAUAACUGACGACAUGGCCGUAGUCAACCAGGAUUUUGACGGGUGGGACCAUUUCUUAACUGCACCGCACCUACUCCAACGGAAAUAUCCAGUCGAUUGGGGAACAAAGCUAGGGUUCAUCGGGCGGUGAGAAAUCAGAUGAGGGCGGAGGAGAAAUCAUAGUGCCACGGCGGAGGCUAGCGCCGGAGAGGGAGAGGGAUAUGUCGUGGUUGUGGAGUGCUGAUGUGUCGGCUCGAGGAUUCCGUCGUGAUGCAGGAAGGCGAGCGGCAGAUGCGCGUUCGCCGGUGCGCUACCGCGAGGAUGCCAUGGCGUACGAGCCUGCGAAGAUGUGCUGGUGCGAUCCUCCGAAGAAGGCACCGCGCUGGAUCUCGUGGAGCCAUCAAAAUCCAGGAAGGAGAUACUACUCCUGCAUGGACGCGCUGGUGAGUUCCCCAUAUCUUAUCCUCUCUGUUUGAUUUUCUUCUCCUCUAUGUUUGAUUUCUUCUCCUCUCUGUUUUGAUUGUUUCUUCUCUCUGCAUUUGAACAACAUGGUGGCUGCGGCUAUGUUGAGUGGCAUGACUCUGAGCUGCCCAAAUUUCUAAGUGACCUGAUUGGUGAUCUUCGUGAUGAGGUGUGGAUGCUGAAAGGGCAGAGGAGUGUGUCUCAAGUGGAAGAUCACACUGCAACUAUGACUGCCAAUGAUGAUGAAACAACAAUGAUGCUUGUAUCUGUGCAAGAUGAACUGAGGGAGAAGAAUGAAGAAUUGCUUGCUGUGAAGGCCAAAUAUGAUAAUGUUGUAUUUGUGUUCACUGUGUUUGUGUUGGGUGUAGUUGCAAGCAAGAUGUUCAUGCAGUGUUGGCUUUGUAAGCAAUGUAGUUGCACUGCAGUUGCAAUGUAGUUUGCUAUGGACAAGUACUAGAUCAUUGUAAUAAUUAUGGUGUGUGCAAUGUAACAAGUUUGUGUUAAAUUGUCCCUGUCAUUUUGGAUUCCAUCUAUUUUAUAGCAUCCAUAGCAUAGAGCAUCUAUUUUAGAUCUUAAUUGUACUCCAGUAUAGCAUAUAGGUCAUAUAACAUCCAUAGCAUCCAUUGCAUCCAUUGCAACAUGAUAGUAACAUCCAUUACAGGGCAUAUACCAUCCAUAACCUGAUACAUGUUUGUUUUCAGGCUAUCACAAAAGUAGAUGUUUGCAAUAUUACAUUUCAAAUGUUUUCAACACUGCAACAUCAUCAAAAGUAGUAGAACAUGCAAGCUGUUGGCAUAACUAGUAGUUUACACUGCAGGUGAAGUACUUGUAGCUUGGAACUCAGGAUGCAACCCUUCUUCCUCUCUUUGCUCCAGUUCCUCUCACUGUAGAAGUAGAUGCUCCAGGUGUUGUGACUGAAGAUGAUCCAGCUGCAGUAGUUGCAGCUCUCUUCCUUGGAGGCUUGAACUUGUUGGCAUUAGUACCAGGUGCAGAGGCUUGAGGUGCACUGGUUCUAGCUGCUGCUUGUUGAGCAGGUGCACCGGUUCUAGCUGCUGCUUGUUGAGCAGGUGCACUGUUAGUACUUGCUGGUUGUGGGUGUGGUUGAGAUGCAGAGCCAGAACCAGAUGCUUGCUGGUAUUUGAUUAAGACGGAAAAUAGUUAGGCAUUUAAAAUAAUGUAAAAGCAUAUGCAAGCAUAUAAUUGACUAGAAGCAUUUAAAUUCAUGUAAGAGCAUGUGCAAGCAUUUAAAUUCAUAUAUACCUCAAUUGUGCUCUUUUUCUUGCUAGUUUUGGUGAGAUGUGCAUUCUUCUUCUUUCCUCUCUCAGGAUUCUUCUUGCAACCUGACUUGUUGUGUCCAGCUUCUCCACACAUAGAACAUUUAAUUAUGGUUCCAUGUUUGCUCAUUUUUUUGCCUUAGGAGCUUAUGUUUCUUCUCUUCUCUUGUCAUUUUUAGGCCUUCCAGGCAUUCUCACAUAACUAGGAGCUUGAGGCCUAGGAUUCUGAGAUACAGGCCACAUCUCCUCCCCUUCCACUGGCUGCAAGCAAGGACCAUAUAUUUUCUUGAAAACCUCAACUGAGUAGCAAGGAUGAAUAUACUCAUCAAUUGUCUUCUUACACUUGUAGAUAGCAGAAAUGACAUGGUGGCAGGGGAGACCAGACAACUGGAAUUACCCACAAGAGCAUGUCCUUGCUUAAAUAUCAACAGUGUACUGCCUUCCCCUUCCAUUGAUAUGCUUCACUUCAUACCCAUUUUCUCCAUUCCAAAUCACUUCAAGAUAUUGUGUCCAAGCAAUAGAUUUUUUGAGCUUCUUUAAGAUACCAGGGCAUAUUGUCCCUGUCAUUUUCUCACCCUUCUCCUUCUGCUCUUGAAUUCUCACAAAUAUCUUUUUCCUGAUCUUCUCUAGCAUGGAAAUCAGUGGAUAGAACCUAGCAUCAACAAUUGCAUGGUUAAAUGACCCACAUAGAUUAUUGUCAACUGACUCACAAUUUGUUCCCACUGGAAAAAAGCCCUAGCCCAAUGCACUGGCUCUGUCUUCGUCAUGUCUUGAGCUCCUUCAGGUGUCUCUUGUGCAAGCUUGGCCUUGUAAUAGUUGAAAUCUUGCUGAUUGGAUGCUUUGGCAACAUCCCAGAAUUUUUUCUGCCAAUCAUGAGCUCUGUGCUUCUUCCUCCACUUAGCAUAUAUGUGUCUAGCACACAUUAUGUGCUCUGCAGCUGGAAGAUAGUCCUUCAUGGCAUUGAUUAGGCCCUUCUUUUGGUCAGAGAUAAAUACCCACCCUUCUCCAUUGUUGUUGAUGUCAAGAUCCUUUAUGAGUAAACCAAUAAACCACUUCCAAGUUUCAUUGGUUUCCUGCUCAACUGCAGCCCAAGCAAGUGGAUACAUCUGAUUGUUAGCAUCCCUCCCUAUGGCACACAAUAACCCACCCUUCACUCCCCUUUGAAGAAGCAUCCAUCUAGACCUAUCAGUUUCCUGCAUCCAGCCUUGAAUCCUUGCUUCAUUGCAUUGAAACAAACAUAGAAACUCUGAAAUAUAUUUUGGUCCAUGUUUGAAGGAUCAAGGCACACAUCAACAAUGCUUCCUCGAUUGCUCCUAAGCAGCUCCAAUUGAUAAUCAAACACCCUGGUAUAUUCAUUCUUCAUACCACUCAUCAAUCUCUCCAUCACAAUUGCCUAUGCAUGCUUGCACUUUGAGGUUGAAACAUCAGCAAACAUGUCUUUCAGCACUGUGGCAUUCAUGCUUUCAAUUUUCCACAUAGGAUUAGCUAGCAUGAAGUGCUCAUACCUCUGUGCAAUCAAUUUAGCAGUCACAAGCUUGUUGCAUCUGUUCUGUGCACAUUCAUGAUGAUCAUUAAAUGUGAUCACUUGGAAUCUAGAUGUUCUUGACCUCUUAGCUGCAUAGAUGAGCCAAGGGCAACCAUCCCAUCCACACUUGGCCCUAACCCUGUCACUUUCUGAUUUCAAGAACCUGAUACUCCUCUUAGUAACUAGACCAUACCUUCUCAAAGCUUUGCAAAACUGGUUCUUGGUUCUGAAAAUCAUGUUCAAUUCAAAGUGGGGUAUCUCAGUGUCAUUAUUAUACCUGAUGAACUGGCUCUUUCUCUUCACUAACACCCCAUCUGAAUCUUCAUCAUAACUAUAUUCCUCAUCAGAAGAAUCAUACUUCCAGUCAUCUUGUUCUGUUGCUAUUUGUUGCUCCAUGUUGGCAAUAAGAUCAAUUGGUACUGGACCUGUUGCAUCACUUCCAAUCCAACUCUUGCUAUCUCUCAUUUUUUUCUUGAACUUCCUAGCAUGUCUCCUUAGCUCCACAACCUCUCAAUCUUCUCAACUGUCAUCACUAUGUGGAAUGUACACAAAGUCACUGUCUGAAUCAGAAUCAGAAUCAGCAACAUCAUUCCCUUCUGCAGCAAGUGUGUGUUGAGUUGGAUCAAGCACUUGAGAAAAAUGGUCCUUCACUAACAUUUGGAGGUUCAGUCACAUUGUCAUGCCUUCCAGUGCUUCUGUGCUUCUGAGGACUGCUAAUAACUUGUCUGACCACACCUGUUGCAUCAGUGAUAAGCACAUCAGUGUCAGAUUUAGCAGGCUCUGCAGCUCUGAUCACAACAUCAGGUUCAAAAUCUGUCCAAUAAACUAUCUCAUCCUCAAAGUCACUCGUAGUGCUACUCUCAGCACUAUCUUCUUCUCCAUGGUACUCUACAUAGACAUAUGCAAUAGCACCAACAUCUACAUAAUCUACCAUCUUAAGACAUUUGUUGUCAUCAUCCAGAAACAUCAAGCCAUUCACAAGUUCUUGACCAGGAAUUAAGAAAUAAAACUUCAUAGACUCCUUCAGUGCAAUGUGAUCCUUCAAAAAGCCCUUUACUUCCUGCAGAGAUAAUUUGUCCCUUUCUAUGUGUGACAUAGCUUCAUCUCCUAGAGAUCAAAAGAGCUGAGAAUGAGUCGUCAAAUAAGCUCUACGUUAAGAGAAUGGUGGAAACCAGCGCGCAAACUUCAUUCUCUCCUAGGAUGCAUCAUGGGAAAAUCUCAAGACGAUAUAGUCAUCCCUUUGGUCUUAUUGACAUAAGAGAUGGCAUUUAUAGUCUAUCUCUUUCUAUAUAUGGAAAGUCAAGAAAUUCUCAUCGAAACAUCGAGAAAUUGCAUCAUAUUGCAGAUUGGGGCCAGUACGAAUGAAUUCCCCACCCAGAUGGAAACAGACAUGCAAAAUCUCGGUGGGAUCCAUGCUAUCACUGCAGUAGACAAAUAGUAGGAGCAAAAAUUAACCUAUAUGUACAUUUCAACAUCGAAAUCUACGGCUAAAUCGAAGAAAUCGCAACUUGUUUGCCCGAAAAAAACCCUACCCCAAAACCUUUGUAAACCCUAACAAAAUUGCCGCAAUGAGAGCCUAAACUAUGAGUAUCGGAGGAGGAGGGCAUCGGGGUGUUUACCUCCACUUGUUUGCGCUGCCGCGCCGUCACGAUCGUCGCCGUACAGCCGAUCACCCGCCGGUCGCCAUUGCUGCCGCGCGAGAGAGGUGGAAGAGGGGAAGGCAUGGAGGAGGUGGAGUUGUGGAGGGCUCUUCAACCUCGCGGGCCUGUCCAACACCCUCCCAGACCAGAAUUAGUGGGCCGACCCAGUCCAGCUGUGCUCUUUACGGUCCAGCCCGUCGCCAACGCAAGCAUUCCUGGCCACAUGACCAAUCCCCGUUUGGCAAAGCACACAAAGGUUCAAUUUAGACCGGGAUUUGUUACUUGAGGGUGCAAUCGACAGGGAUUUGUAUUUGGGGGUCAAUUUCGGCAGACAUCUACCAGUUCAGGGUUCAAAAUUGACUUUUUCCUUAGAUCAUCCAUUAGUCUCUUUUUUUUGCGAACAAAAUCAUCCAUUAGUCUUGACCGUGUGCGAGUUUUCACUGUAUCUGAUUAGGAUAAAUAAACCAGGAAAUAAAUUUAACAGUAAAGCUACCGAAUGCAUUAGUAAAGAGAGACUUAUAAGUGAAAAUUAUUCUAUUUUCUUUUAUUAGUGAUUCAAAAUAUUUUUUGCUAUACUUAUUUGUCUUUAUGUUUAGGUCUUUAGUAAAAAAGACCCUAGAUUUAGUUUCACCCUGGGCCCCUGAAAUCUCAGGACCGGCCCUGUCUAUCUUGUCAUGAUUCUCGUGGCAAGUUGCAACCAACACUGUUAACUAAAGUCACCGCAACGGAGGCUUUACUGGAUUGGGAACAGAGAAAUAGAAUUGUAGAAACACAUUACUACAGCCGCUGAAAUUACUCAGUAUUGAUCUUUAGCUCCUUUGGUCGGAGGGUGCAAUUUUACUUUGUGUUGCAUGUCCUGGUUCCUUCUCUUUCAACAAAGCCUGGCAAUAAUCUUCGGUUUUGUUUCCAAAAGCAUGUUAUUAUACACCAGUGUUUCUGGAAUUCUCUUCCUCUCUGACGCCAUGUCUUCCGGGUGACUGUUGAGCUGGGAGCGGGAAGGGAGCAAUCGGCUGGAAGCACCACAAGAACUGCAAACACAUUGACUAUGCUGUCUUAUGUUCUACCUGUACUCCUUAAGGAAUUUGCAAACAGCAAAGUCGUUGUAGUAUAGUGGUAAGUAUUCCCGCCUGUCACGCGGGUGACCCGGGUUCGAUCCCCGGCAACGGCGAAUUUUUUUCUCUCUCGUUUCUUGCACUUUAAGAUUUCUCCCCUCCCUGGUUUCCUUCUUUUUCUGAAUGAUUGAAAAGCAAAUUGCUUUCCGACGGGCGUUUCUUUCCUGUUUUGAAACGGAACGCGAACAUUCUCCUGCUUGUAGCCGGUUUCGGAUUGGGCGCGAGUCAGUCAAUAAAAGAUGGGUUUGAAGCCAACACGUUCCAUCCUCUCAUCCCUUGCCGUCGAUCGGGAACCAACUCCGCCUUCAACUACUAGAAGCUCCCAUCCAUCGCGCAUCUGCUGAUCGGUCAAUGGACGAGAGGGUUUCGCUGAUGAUGAUGCAGCCGGACGACUCCGCCCGCGCGGCUGUCCUCGCGCUCCCGUCGCCUUUGGCUUUGGCGGGCGACAAGGAGGAAGAAGAGCCGGUUUUCGGGGACGACGAGGACGAGGAGUUGUAUGGCAGCGAUGAUGAAAGCUACUAUGAGGAGGACAGCGACGACGAGGUCGACGUCCCGCUCAAGAUCGAUGCAGUCGUCGCGGCCGGGGCGAGCGGCGUCACGGGCGGGCCGCCACUACACCGGUGGCUGUACGUACCCGAAGGCCGAUUCCUUGGGCCGGCACCGCGGUUCGCCUCCGCGGGGAACACGGCCGGCUUCCUGGGCGUCGCCGUCGUGGUGCCGCCGCCGGCUGAUCUCCCGGCUGCCAGUAGCCAAGGACAAGCAGGUGGCAAGGAGAUCUUGGUCCUCUACCGGUAUACCGAGUUUGAGGCGGCGCCCGGCGACCUGGGGCUGGAGGUGUCCAAGAAGACGAAACUGCACUAUCUCCGGUUCGCCGUCCCGCCGGCCGGCGACGCGGCGGGCUCGCUCCAGUGGGCAGGGGCGUCGCUGGCGCCGCUCAUAUACCCCUCCCACCACAGCAGCGAGCUCCAGGCCCUGUGGUCCAAGCUGGUCUCAAACGUGGCCGUGUGCAUCCCGCCGGGGACCACGCGUCUCAAGGUGAUCGCCGACGUCGGCAUCCUCCGGCUCGAGGACUACACGCCGGGUCGCAUGGAUGUCGUGAUGGACGCGCUGCAGGGAAUGAUAGCGGAUCCAUGGCCCGGGUACCACGUCGCCAUGGAGCUGAGCCUGCCGGAGCCCGUGCACGCGCAGUGCGCGGCAGAAGCUGAAGCCGCCGACGGCGACUGCGGGCGGCCGGCAAAGCGGAGGAAGGUCGUGGCGGAGGAGGUCGCCGGGCAGGAGUGCUCCGUUUGCUUCGAGCUGCUGGAAAGCGACCUCGCCGUGUGGCCCGGGUGCUCCCUGCCCCACGUCUUCCAUGGCGCAUGCCUGGCGGACACCCUCAAGGGGAGCGAGAUGUGCCCUCUCUGCAGGCGCAAGCUGUCUGCUCCGGACGACAAAGUCUAGACUCUUGCAUUGCAACCCAACGUCUCGAGGGCAUCCUUCUGUUUCAAGGGCAGCAUUAUUCAGAUUCAUGAAUUCUGCUGGUUCUGGAAUGAAAUUCUUGAGUUUAAUCAAUGCAUGUUGGACUAUUAUUAUUAUUUUCCUUUUUGUGAUGUCAUGUGAUGAUGAUGCAUGGCAUAGAGUAUUAUUGCAGUUUUAAGUUUUACACACAAGCAAAAAUGAAGUAGCUCUGUGUGGAUGAAUAAACCCAAAGUUCAGUAAUCGACCAUCAUGUUCACAGUUUGCAAUAUACUACCUCCGUACUAAAAUAAUUGUCUUUGUACUAACUUUAAUAUAAAAUUAGGGUCAUGAUAACGCCCACACGUGUGGACGUUAAGAGUCUUGUCACACGUCUCGUGUGGUAUCUAAGAAAACCAGCUCACACGCCUACAUGUGGGUCAAACAAAUCAUGCCCACACGUCCGGCCUCAUGUCUCGCGGUCCCGUCCAAACGCCUACGUGUGGGCAAAACAGGUAACGUCCGCACGUCCGGUCUCCUACCCCAUGGUCCCGCACGCCCGUGUAACAGCCAACACGCGCCCUCACCUCCGAACCCGUUCGGCCCCUCUUUCAUGUUUGUUUAACUACAAUUGCCAUGGUUGCUGAACUGCAGUUGCCAUGGUUGUUCAGCUACAGUCGCUAUGUCUGAGCAAAUUGCAAUUGUCAUCUCAGGUCAAAUGUAGUUGUUGCCAUGUAUGGCCUGGUUUACUGCAGUUGUCAUCUCAGGUCAAGUCCACUUGUCAUUUAUGAACAACUUCGGCUGUUGCCAUGUAUGGCCUGGUCUAUUAUAGUUGCCAUGAUAUGAAAACUUUAAGAGUUGCCACCUACUAACACUAAACAGUUGUCAUAUAACACUUGAUAGACAAGGCAAAAAUAAUAUCUUGAAGUUGCCAUAUGCUUCUAAGCACACUAGGUAGUUACAAAAAUAACAUAUUCAGUUAAGAGAGAGAGGGUUGUCAUCUGCUUACAAGCACACUAGACAGUUGCCAUGUACCACUACAAAAAAACAUGGCAACCGACAGUUUGGGGGUGUGGGAGAGGAGACGGGUGGCGAUCAUGCGGGCAAGUGGAGGUGAAACAGGCGUGUGGGCGAACUGAUAAACGCUCACACACCAGCUCAUCUGCGUGUAUGAAACAAACGUGUGGUCGAAUUGAUAAACGCCCACACACCAGCCAUUCUACGUGCGUGAACGAACGUGUGGGCGACCGGAUGAAAUGCCCACACACGAUCCCAGUCCUACGUGGCAUAGAAAUUUUGGCAAAACUUGCCAACAUUCGUGCAAACCACAAACGAACGACAAUCCAUACGUGUGGGUGGUUUGCAAACGCCCAUACAUGUAAACGUUAUCUUUUUGAUAAAAUUAUACUAAACUUAAGAUACUUAUUUUAGGAUGAAAGCAACACAAACUUUAUUUUAUGAAAACAUACACAAACCUAUAUGCAUCCCUGGACUUGUUUAAGUAGAGCAAUGUAAAUAUUCACGCAUCCCUGGACUUGUUUAAGUAGAGCAAUGUAAAUAUUCACACACAUCUGUUAAUCUGUCACAAAUCUAUUUGCUAGAAGAAGCGGUCAGGGUCUCUCACGUCUAAAGCUCGAGAACUCGCUUGACACUAGACCUCAAUCUCAUAUCCUAAGUGCUACAAGCUUAAAGCAUCUUCAACAGAUGUACUAAAUAAGCAGCGCGCUCAGAAAAACGAUUAUAUAGGGCACGUUGUUAAAAGUAGUGUUUCAGUAGCCAUGUUAUAACCCCGCAUACAGUAAACAAACGUCAGCACACUGAGAAAAGUUGCAUUGCACGUAGUUUAUUUGAUGUAUCCGCUCCAGCACGCUGGACAAGUGAAUCAUGCACGUGAAUCACCACGGAUCUAAAAUCUCCUGGCGCUGGCGCCUCCGCGUGUACGUGUCGUCGGCGCUUCUGCCGCCUCUCCCUAGCACGUCGUCGCUCCUCCUGCUUCUCCCGAUGGCCACUGAUGCUUCCUCAACCUUCUCUCCUAACCGUCACCCCUUGAGCGCACCGUUCCUUUGACGAACAACGUGCGACGAUUGUUUGCAGCUCGGCGCCCACAAGGUGUUUGACAAAAUACUUGCAAGGUAUAUAUUGCUUUAAAUUUUAUAUUUAUAGAUGAAUUUGGUGCAUGUUCACUAGUAGGAAACACGGCUUUGGUCCUGGCCUGAUAAGAGUAUGAGUCACGGUCGACUUACGAACAUAGACUAAUACGUGCAUCAAUCUCGGUUCGAGCGGUCAGAAUGCUAGACGGAGCUUGGUAGACAUUAGUCCUGGUUCGAAUGAGACCUUUAGUCCCGGUUGCACACACCAACCGGGACAAAAGGGGUUUACCACCUUUAGUCCUGGUUGGUGUCUGCAACCGGGACUAAUGGUCCUCCCUUUAGUCUCGGUUGGAGCCAAAAACCGGGACUAAAGGUCUAUUUUCUUUUUUUGGCUUGUUUUGUUUUUCUAAACACGAUAGUUUCUGUUUUUAGAUUUGAAAUAACUGUUAGAAUAUUUAUAGUUUUUGAAUGUAUCUUUUCUGCUUUAGGUCACAAAAGUUAUAAACUUUCUGCUAAUGCUAGUAGUUUUCAAAUUUGAAUAGUUUAAAUUUGAAUUCUUUGAAAUUUGUGUGAAUCACUACUUUGUGAAUAACUCUACUUUAAAAUGGAUUUUUGAGUGAUUCUUUUUCUUGCUAUUUAAUACUAGUGUGUUUUGUCAUUAUAUAAAAUUUGGUAAUUUUUAGGAUAUUUCAAAUGUGUGUUUUAAUCAAAAUAAGAUUUUGUUUACUCUUUUAGUUUUAUAGCUCAAAAAAUCAUUAAAUGCAUGAAAAAUAACAAAUGAAGUGAGAAAGUGUUGAAAAUUGAUGACGUGUCUUUGAAUUGUGAAUAUUGAACUCACAAAAAGUCUGGAAUUCAAAUAAGUUUGAAAAAUGAAAUGCCUUUGUAAGAGAUGUGUAUUCAUCCGAAACCGUGAUAUUUCUGAAUAGAUUGUCCAGUUUGUACACGAAGUGCAUCCAUUUUUUGCCGUAACCCUCUCAACUUUUUAGCACAUGUUAUGUGGGUGAAAUAAUGAUACCAUGUCAAGUUUCAGCCUUUACAGAGUUCAUUUGUAGUGUUUUUCAAUGUCACGGUCAUUUAGCUGAAAAAAUUAAUUAAAUGCAUGAAAUAUUCAAAUAAAGUCAUAAAGGGUUGAAAAUUGAUGACGUGACUUUCAAUUGUGCAUAUUGAAAUCACAAAAAGUAUGGUGUUAAAAUAAGUUAAAAAAAGAAAUAUCUUUGUAAAACCUAAGUUUUUCGUGUGAAACUGUCAUACUUCGAAAGAGAUUGUCCACUUUGUACACGAAGUUAGCACAUGUUAUGUGGAUGAAAUGCUGAUACCAUGUCAAGUUUUUAGCACAUGCUAUGUGGAUGAAAUGAUGAUAUCUUGCCAAGUUUCAGCCUUUUCAGAGUUCAUUUGUAGUUUUUUCAAUUUCAUGGUCAUUUACCUUUUUAAAUAAAUGAUGUCAUAUUUUACUUUAAAAAAAUAAAUGAUGUCAAUUUUACCCUUUUAAAUAAAUAAUGUCAUAUUUGUAUUCCUCACAUUUUUCUGAUGAUAAUGGAUAUAUUAUUUGUUGAAUUUCGAUUUAUAGAUUUAAAGAUAUCAAUUAUGCCAUAUUAAAUGAAUAAAUGGCAAAAAAUGAAUAAAUGAUUUUAUUUUCAUUGAAAUUCAAUAUUACUAUUACUUAUUUUUUUGAUUUUUUUAUUAUUUUGAUAUUUUGUUUUUUGUGCUUUUUGAGAAUUAUUUGAGUUUUUCUUUUGAAAUUUUUACCUUUUUAAAGUUUUUUUAGUUUUUAAAUUAAUUAUUAUUGUUUGUUAAUCAUUGUUGUUUAUUUUAAUAAUUGUUUGGACUCAAAAAAUUAAAUCAUGUGACAUCAAGACCUAAGGGUUAAUAAGAUUGAUAGCUUACUAUUGUCAAUAAAACAACAAGUACACACUUGGAAACUAGUGAAGAUAGAACCGAAAAGUUAAGCGUACUUGGGUUGGAGCAAUGAGAGGAUGGGUGACCGGCCGGGAAGUUAAACGGUUUGAAAUGAGUGGAGUGAGUGACUUACAGGGAAGUUAGAUGAUUUGAAAUGAGUGUUUCAUGUUCGAGUACCGAGUAGGGGAGAUUAGGGAUUAAGUUAUCAAAAAAAUUGAAAAUCAGAAAAAACUCAAAAAACGGGACUAAAAGUUUUGACCUUUUGUGUCGAUUGUUUGGUCCCGGUUGGAAAACCGUGACUAAAGGCCCUUUGGAACCGGGGCUAAAGGCCCGUUUUCCACUAGCGGUUAUUUCUAGUUUUAAGUUAGAGCUGAAGCACUGUGGUUCGGUUUUCGCUCGUCAGAAAUAUGGAGGGAAAGGGUCGAUGCCCACAAUAGAUUGGUGAUAAACUAUUUUGUGGAGAAUCCAACAAACCCCACAUUCUACUUUUGACGUCGUUUUAGGAUGAGCAUCGAGUUGUUCAAAUACACUGCACAGAAACUGGCGAGGCAUGAUCUUUUUUUAGCAAAGGAGGAAUGCCGCCGGCAAAUUCGGGCAUAGAACCUUUCCAAAGGUGAUCGCCACUUUGCGUAUGUUGUCAUACGGUAUUCCGAUGAAUCUAGUUGAUGACCACUUGACCUUGGGUGAGAGUGAAGCCAUCAUGUGUGUCAAGCACUUCGCAGUUGGAAUUGUACAAGGGUUUGGUCCAGAAUAUUUGAAAGCUCCCAAUGUUGUAGACACCGCAAGGCUUUUGGAGUUCAGCAAAGCUCGCGGGUCCCAAGUAUGCUUGCCAUAAUACAUUGCAUGCGUUGGAGUUGGAAGAACUAUCCUACGGCAUGGCAUGAAAAAUUCCACGGUCAGAAAAAGGGUUUCACUAUAAUCCUUGAAGCGGUGACCGAUCAUGAGACUUGAUUUUGGCAUGCUUUUUUGGGAAUGCCCGGAUCUUGCAAUGACAUCAAUGUUAUUCAAAGGUCACCACUCAUGAAUAGGAUUGCAACUGGUGAAACUCAACCGGUGGAGUUUGUAGCAAAUGGCCAUACACACAACUAUGGAUAAUAUCUUACGGAUGACAUCUAUCCACGGUGACAAGCAUUUGUGAAGCCGUUGAAGGCACUGCAAGUUAAGAAAAAACUUGAUUUUCACGAUGCUCAAGCGGCGUCUAGGAAAGAUGUGAAGAGAGCUUUUGAGAUUUUGCAAGCUCAAUUUUCUGUUGUGAGGGGAUUGGCCAGAUUUUGGGAUCAAAAGAUCCUUCGAUACAUAAAGAAAGCUUGCGUGAUCAUGCAUAACAUGAUCAUCAACAGUCAGCGUGGGCAAGAUUCAGACUAUUCUCAGUAUCAGUUGAUGCGACAACCCACACGAGUGUGGAUAAGGACAGCAAGGGCGGCCCGCUUUGUUGCCUCCUAUCAUGUCAUUCGACGUGGCAAAGCGCAUGAUGAGCUUCAAAAGAAUUUUGUCAAGGAGUGAUGGUCAUGGAAUGGACAACAAAAUUAAUUUAACAUUGUAUGAACUAUUUGUUGUAUUAUUCAUGAACUAUUUGUUGUAUUGAAGAUAAAAAAUUUGUUUAAGUUGUAAUAAUAAUUGAACAAUUUAUUAUUAAUUUACUUUGUGUGUGUUUGAUCUUCUUGAUUCUAUGUUUGAGUAGGAAAUGUUGAUUGUGCUAGGCGCACGAGCUAGAAUUUAGCGUCACUGCUGGAGCGCUACCUGCGGAGCACAAUAUUAUAGCGCUUAUGGUAAAGCAAAACACCAGCCUAGCGCUUUAAAAGUCUAUUUCCACGUUGCAAAAAAGAAUUUAGCGCGCCGCGCUACCGCGUGUGUGUUGAAGAUGCUCUGAUAAUACAACAUUUGAACACGGAAGCAUUGGAGUUGCAAAAUUGAUACCGACGAGGCUGAGUUAUUCACACACCCCUCACGAAAUUUUACAUUUUUUAAGAAGUUGGUCUCAAUUCUCUCAACAUGCAAAGUGUCCACCACAAUAUUCCACUAGGCAAUGCAUUUAAUACUUCUCUCACAAUAAGCCCUGCAAAAUUUGCCACAUAAACACUCUCAACAUACAAAGUGUUCACCUCAGCGUCCCACUAAACAAUGCAUUUAAGUCUUCUCUCCCAUUAAGCCAUGCAAAAUCUAUCACAUAAACGAGUCAUGCAUUUAACUUAUAAAUCAUAAUUACUUUUGCAUUAGUCUAUGCAUGUAACACUGCCACAUCAUGAAGAUUAAGGUUAGUCAUCAUUCACAUUCUGUUUGAAAUGACAUUAUUAAUUGUAAUUCAAAAGUAGUUAUUCUAUGUUCAGACAUUCUUAUUAUUUUUAAUUUUAUACUUUCUUUUCAUUAGACUUAGCAACUACUUACGCAUAUUUUAACAAAGUUACCGUAUCAACGCAUGGGGAGAUUGAGAGUCAUCCUCAUUACUCAUGUCCAACUUUUCCUUAGUGAAGAAGGCACCCGCGUGGACAACUCUAAGGAAUUUUAAACUCACAAUAUGAUACUUAUAUUCUAAAACUAUUUUGCAAUAAUAAAUGAAUCAAGUAUAAUAGAUAUCAUAUAUUUUUUAUUUCAUACUCAUAUUUUUAAUUAUAAUAUUCAUGUUUCACGUAAGCAAAUAUCAUCUAAACAUAUUGCCAACAAUUUCUGUAGCAACGCAUAGGAAUUUGUCUAGUAUCACUCGAUGUUUGUGACUUGAGCCUCGACGUCUAUGUGUUUUUCCUGCAUACACGAGGGAACUAUGUGAUUAUUAGUUAAUUAGUAGUAUGCUAUGUGUGUAUAAAAAUAUGACCAGCAACUGAAUUUUCUGCAUCGCAACUACACACUACUAUUUCUUUAUGACAAUAAAAUUAUAUAGUUUUGCCUUGCUCUUUUCUUUUGUCGCCCUGUUUAUUCUACAACAAAGAUGCUUACAUGUAUCCAAAAAUGCCAACAAAUAAUGGUAUGGAUUUACAGUUGAAAAAUGUCCGCAUAUAUCCAGAGAUGCGUACAACCAACGUUGAAGAUGCAUGCGCAUUAUCCAAGAAAAUGCCUCCAAUGAAAGAAAAAAUGUAGAUCCAAAAUGAGAUGGCAGUGGAUGGACAUGGAGUACCUGCCUAGUACAGAGUAUGUUGAACUGUCCUUGAAUGGGCUCAGACUAAGAUUCAGACAAAGAAAAACCAUCUGAUUUAGGCAAUGGAUGGUGAAAGGUUCUAGCCACUCCGUUUGGUGAUUUGUCAUGGGCGACUUAGUGCAUUGGGUUGGCGGAGUAUGUGCUUGGACAUGGCGACUACAUGCAAUCUAGGUGGGCACUAUGUGCAUGAGAUGACGGUGGACUGGACUAUGGACGAACACGGAGUACUUGGAAGUUCAGAGUAUAUUAAAUAAUCGUUCGAUGGGUUAAGACUAAGAUUCAGAUAAAAAGGGCAUCAGAUAAUAAUAAUAAUAAUAUAUCAUUCUUUUAAAUUAGUGAACUUGAAAAGGAAAGAACUUGGCAGCACGCAAUGCAUUUAAAUCUUCUCUCACACUAAGCCAUGCAAAAUCUGCCGCAUAAGCACUCUCAACAUACAAAGUGUACACCUCAACGUUCCACUCAGCAAUGCAUUUAUUCUAUGUUUAGACAUUUUUAUUGAUUUUUAAGUUUAUACUUUCUUUUCAUUAAUUUUAAUUGUUGGAAAUAUGUCCUAGAGACAAUAAUAAAUUGGUUAUUAUUAUAUUUCCUUGUUCAUGAUAAUCGUUUAUUAUCCAUGCUAGAAUUGUAUUGAUUGAAAACUCAAAUACAUGUGUGGAUACAUAAACAACACAUUGUCCCUAGUGAGUCUCUAGUUGACUAGCUCGUUGAUCAAAGAUGGUAAAUGUUUCCUGGCCAUAGACAAAUGUUGUCACUUGAUAAUGGGAUCACAUAAUUAGGAGAAUGAUGUGAUGGACAAGACCCAAACUAUAAACGUAGCAUAUGAUCGUGUCAGUUUAUUGCUACUGUUUUUCUGCAUGUCAAUGUAUCUGUUCCUAUGACCAUGAGAUCAUGCAACUUCCGGACACCAGAGGAAUACCUUGUGAGUAUCAAACGUCGCAACGUUACUGGGUGACUAUAAAGGUGUUGUACAGGUAUCUCCAAAGGUGUCUGUUGGGUUGGCAUGGAUCAAAACUGAGAUUUGUCACUCCGUGUGACGGAGAGGUAUCUCAGGGCCCAUUCGGUAAUACAACAUCACAACAAGCCUUGCAAGCAAUGUGACUAAGGAGUUAGUUACGGGAUUUUGUAUUACGAAACGAGUAAAGAGACUUGCGUGUAAUGAGAUUGAACGAGUAACAUACCGAAGGACAAAGGGAACAACAUACGGGAUUAACUGAAUCCUUGACAUAGAGGUUUAACCGAUAGAGAUCUUAGUAGAAUAUGUAGGAGCCAAUAUGGACAUCCAGGUCCCGCUAUUGGUUAUUAACCGGAGAAUGUCUCAGGUCAUGUCUGCAUAGGUCUCGAACCCGCAGGGUCUGCACACUUAAGGUUUGGUGACGUUUCGGUAUAGUUAAGUUAUAGGUGUUGGUAACCGAAAGUUGUUCGGAGUCCGGGAUGAGAACCCGAACGUCACGAGGAGCUCCCGAAUGGUCCGGAGCUAAAGACUGAUAUAUAGGAAGUCCUGUUUUGGUCACCGGAAAAGUUUCGGGUUCAUCGAUAGUGUACCGGGAGUACCGGGAGGGUACCAGGGACCAUCGGGAGGGGUGUCACGCCCCGAGGGGGCUUAUGGGAUGUGGGAGGAUACAAUCCAACCCUUAGUGGGAUGACAUAAGCACCCACUAAGUCCCAUGAGGUUUGAGAGGCAAAAACCCAAAGGUGGAAAGGGUUUCCACUAGAGGUGCUUAGGCGCGCCGUAGUUCUUCCUCUAGAUCGGAUUUCUGCGGUGCUUAGGCGAAGCCCUGCACAAAUAGAUCACCACCAUCACCAGCGCGCCGUCACGCUGUCGGAGAACUCAUCUACUUCCCCGUCUCUCUUGCUGGAUCGAGAAGGCGGGGGUCGUCCUCGAGCUAUACGUGUGCUGAACGCGGAGGUGCCCCUUGGUCGUCGCCCCUCCUAGGGGAAACCCUAGGCCGACCAGGUUCGGGCCAGCUGGUUUUGUUUUGGAUACAUCCAUUUCAGCAUCUAAUUCCUGACCGAGGAAGUAUAACAUAAGAUCUGGAGCAGGGCAGCAUCCCCCCCCAUGGAACAGAUUAUGUGUAUUUAAAUUGAUUUGUAUGUAUGGACUUUGGUAAUCCCAAUCGGUUUAUUUAAAUCUUGCAUCAUGUUUUGUUUUGGAGCUCCAUCUAUCUUCGUACAAUAUUUCAGGUUCACUUUAGUUGAUUUCGUUGGUUAUAUAUGUAUGUUUAAAGCUAGCCAGAACUUUCACCUAUAUGUGAUGUAAAUGUGCUUGGAUAGCCUAAUAGUUAUGGUUCACUAGAUCAUUGAUGGCGCGCCUUGCCGCGUCCGUCCAUUUUGGCACUAUAAUGAUGGUGGUCUGACGGAAAAAAACGACCAACAAUAGACGCGAUGGUCGAAGUCGCUUAGUGCGUCAAAGGACUACAAAAGGUUCACUGGCGCCCAUUGUUACACCCAUCUAUUUCUACAAUAUACGGAGAAUAUAUCAAAUGCUGGAUUGGUCGGUAUAAAUAUUAUAUGGAACAAACACUAUUUAGUUAAUACUAAGAGGCCCUAAGUGCAAAAGAAACCAGAAGUGGCCAACAGAAUUACAAAACAAUGAGUGAACCAAUUGUUGUUGUCUCCACAAAUGUGAAGUUAUGAAAGAUUACGGACAAAAAAUCGCAAGACGAGAGGAGGUUUACGUGUUGGAGCUAGCUUUGAAUAAUAUACUGAGUAAUAAUAGUCAUUACUUUACGGAGGGAGAAGUUAGUAACACGGACCUGGUGAAAUUUUCACUACAGAUUUGCGAGACUAAAGGGUUGCUUCUUAAUGGCAAAAUUAUUUAUGGUAUUUCAUGCAACCAAAAAUUUGACAUGGCCAUGACUUUGGCUGCUGCUUGGUUGAUUUCCAAAGUUUUGGCUACCCAAACACUUAUAAAAAAAUUGGCAGAAAAUUAUUAUGUACAUGCAUGUUUAGAUGACCAUGAAGACUGAAACUGUAGAACGCAUGUACUAUCAUCGAUAAGAUGGCAUGUAUCUACAACCUUAUUCAGCAAAUAGGACAUGAUCAGAAAGUACCGACACCAGCCGGAAAUAAAUCGCACCAAAACCGAAGAAGCAAGUUCUGGAAAGACCAUGCAUCUAAUUUAGGAUAACAAAAUGUAGAUACAAUGCCAAGUACCGAAUAAUAUCUCAUGCCUGGCAAGUACCGAAUAAUAUCUCAUGCCAGCAUUAGGGUGAAGGACGAGGAACCAAUUAAGACAGUAGCAAAAAUAUGUGGAGAUGGCCAAAAAGAAGUUCACCUACAUCUAGCUAGCUUAGCUAACAUAAUACUCACCAUCUGUUUUCAAAACUAUUGAAAGCAUCUGCCUUAGAAGAGGUGUGAAACUUUGACUGACCAACGAUAUGCAGGAUCUGAUGGUAUAAAGCUGCAGGCAAGAAGAAAGAUGCAAAUGUGUAAUCCCUCCGGUCGGAAAAAAGUGUUCUUAGUUCAAAGCUGAGACACUUUUUAGGUGAGAGGGAGUAGUAAUUUGCAGACUGAAAGAACACCUUGACCUCAUCAUUAAUGAAAUGUCAGCAUGUGCACCAGAUAAAAGCUAAUUACCAGUUCGUUUAAGUACUGAUAUAAAAUAAAAACUUCCACCUUGCCAACAUAAAUGCAAGCGAAAGCGUAGAGAUAUCCCAAAGAAUGUAAGCGCAUGUACAUCUGAUUUGAAGUUCUUUUCUCUCAUAUGCAGAGGGGUCAUCCCCUUUUCGAGAAUUAUGCAGAUGAAUGAUGUUAGGCAUCUAUAAGUUUUCAUGAAAAAAUGGUGAUAUAGCAAAGUGAUUCAUCAAUAUGUAUCGAAUUAGCCACCAGUCCAUCAAACUCAACCUUCACUAAUUAGUGUGCUACAGGAGGGCUUUCAGCUUCCUUUUAACUCCAGAGACCACAUGUUGUACCUAUAGAUGCAGAAUUGGAGAAUAGAAUUUCAGUUCAUAAAUCCAAUAACAUACUGAUUGGACUAAUCCUCUCUAUUUAGUUGUUAAACAUUCAACAUGUGAAGCACCAAAAGCAAUCAACUAACAUCAAAUUCCAGGAGAUUUAUACAUUGUACAUACAUAAAAACAUCGCUGUGGCCUCCAAAAUUCCUGCAUGGAAAGUGGGCCAAUUCAAGUUAAAUCCUAUUCACCAACAAACAAACUAUGAACGUAUCACAAUGGAAGCAAAUGUGCUUUCUAUACCAUGAAUUAAGGAUUAUUUGAACUCACAGGAUCUGCGGUAACGCCCAUACCACCCAUCAGGCAAAUUGAAAUCGGGAUGGUGUUGACCAUGAUGAAAGAUCUUGUGCUGCCGGGUAGAAAGGAUGAGCCAAGAGUGUUAGGGAGGAAGAAUAUAUAGACGUAGCACCCUGCAGUGGAAAGGAUUAGCAUAUCAAUCACCAUGAAUGAACCCUAAGAAACUGAAGUAUGAUUGCGAGCAGUUUCCAACAGAUGAGGCGCCCACAAUCAUCAACUGUGUUCGCCUUUUCCACUUCACAAACGGAUCGACCGCAUCGGCUGGAUCGGACGGCCACUGAUUCAUCCGCAUCAUGCGCGUCCGCUGGAUCACCUCGUCGGCUAGAUCGCUACCCUCGCAUGCAUCAAUCUGAAUCACCUCGCUCGCCCCUCUCGUGCCUCGGCUGCCACGAGCGCCUCCUCUCUCUUCCCGUCAAGCAUCCCCUCGACCACACAAUUGUUUUUUUUCUUUACGUACGCGAUCCAACGACAGAUCGGAGUCAGACCUCGUUGUUUAAGUGGGCUUCCUCGAUCAGCCCAAUUAAUCAGAGGCCUCGGUUUUUUCUUCCGGAGUAGUAGCCCUUAUGCCAGUUGGCCCAGGAAGCUACACGAGUUGGGCCGGGACGCCGCAAAACAUUAAGUGGAGCAGAUCCGACGGCCACCAACAACCAGAUAGCCAAAACGAACGGCCAGGAAAGCAAAUGGUGUGAGAGAGCUUGGAUUAGGCUCGGUUUUACUGUCGUAAAUAAAUAAAUGAAGUGAAUUACUACUGUCCAGAAAUCAUACAUCUCAUACUGUCUCCUUUUUUUUUGCGGCAGAAUCUCAUAUUGUCUCCACGGGCAGAAUCUUGGUCUGUGGCCAGUGUUUCUGCUUAUGUAAUUUGCCAGGUUGAAACAACAUAGACUAUUACUGUAUUUUGCAAAUGUGACCUGUGUGAAGUCGGAACUCAGAAGCAUCCCACUUAGUGGUGUUUUUUUCCUUAUUAAGCGUUUAGAUCACUAAUGUAGUGGUUUAAACGCUCUUACAUCUUUUACGGAGUGACUAUUUCUUAUUUGUCCUCUAAGUAUACACACGUGAGCUUUUACACCUUGAUAUAUUGAUUUUUUUUAUAGCAACACCUGAGUUAUUUUAUAGUUUCACAAGUUUAUGAACCAAAAAGAAGAGAUACCACACUUCUUCGCUCCAACAACCGCCCGAGAGAGGCGAUUGGGUUGGCGAACUGCUGCUCCCAGCCUUCGUCCACGACGCCGCCAAUCCUGCCUCCUAUGUCGUCUUCUUCAAGACUAAGACUAGAGGGGGUGGGGACCCUAGUGAUUUUUCUCUCGCACAUAAAAGCAAGUACAAUAAGGUGACAUAAGCAGGCUAUAAGGAUUAAAAUAUUAUAUCCUUGCUUAGUUGGAGGAGAGAGAGGAGGAGGAAGAAGAGAAGCGGACUUUUGGUGAGUAACGAGCUGCAGCACAAGAUCCAAGACACUUUGUGAGAUUGUAGGGUAGGUUUUGUAUGUGCGGCGGUGUCGCUUCUGACGAUGACGACGGUAAUGCAUUCAAAAAUAACGCCCAUGCUACACUCUCGUCUUGAUGGCGUCCAUGGUGCCGUCGAGGAGCCACUGGGUUCUGUCUUUCGUCGCCCCUUCAGGUUAACGUGUUUAGGUCUUCGACCGGUGGUUGUCGUCCUUAACGACGCCAUCGUUGGGCGAGAGCGAAUGGCAAUCUGUGUUUGAGGAUUGAUGGUGUGGAUCUAGCGCUUGGCCUCGACGAUAUCGACGGUUGGUGAUGGCUUUGGGACUCGAGAGGGAGUGGGGAUGAUCCCCGGUCGACUCGCCACAUCGAUAAAGACCUUGCCGUUGGCGGGCUUCUUCAUCGAUUCACAGUGCCAUUUUGGGUUGUGGCUCUCCUCACAGGAUUACAUAAAUAUUUCUUUGUAAUUUUCUUUCUUUGAGUGUUCUUUACGAUCUUCUGCGGACCCUUCCGGUUGGUUCCGCAUGCAUGCUUUGUAUGAUUCUUAUUUAUGAUCAAUGAUACACGUGGUUACCUUGGAAAAUAAAAUAAAAGUGUAUGAACCAAACUGAUUAUCUAAUGCAAGUUUUGUGACCUACCUUGAAGAAAGAAAUCAAACUGUUCAUCCGAUCUAGCGACAAGAAACGUAACGAGGUAGUAUGAGUGGCAAUCAUAAAACUUGCGCCUCAUGUUUAGUUUAGUGCUAAAAAUUAUAAAAUACAUCAUUACAGUCACAUAACUAGUCCAUGCGUGCAUAUACAAUCACUUCUUUUGUAUCGAGACGUAUCUAGUGCUCACAUGACACGUCAGCAUGAACGCGGCCCGCAUGUUAGUGCCUGGGACUGGUGAGGCAUUAGGUGAGCCUCACAUUAUCUUUGUUUUUUUGCAGAAAAGACCCAUGGCUUUUAUUUAGUUGUGUACAUGUCAUAAAAUUAAGAAAACUCUAGAACUAGAUUCGAACCCAGACCUCAUAUGAUUAAGAGGGCAUAGAUAACCAAUCUUACCAAUGGACAUAUGGCAAUUAGAUUUAUAUAAUAUAUGUUAAUACGAAUUAAAGAAAAAAAUCAUAAGGGAAGAAGAGUGUGCAAAAGAGGGAAACACCAGUUUGAACCUAUGACCUCCUGACAUGAAUUGAAGAGAUAUACAUAAUUUAUCUUCUCUAUUUUUCUUUCUUUUUUACUAUGUAUGCAAACAACAUAUAUUCCAGGUAAAUUUUUCGGACAAAGCAACUAAAAUUUUAUUUGAUUUCAAAUAAUUUGAAAUUUGAAAUCUAGAUAAAAGGAAAUAUAGUGCAGAAUGAAUGUACACAUUUUUUUUAUGACAAAUCAUUUUUUAGUUCGAACAAUUUCAACUUAAAAAAUCUAGUGCACAAUGAAUACGUGUAAAUUAUUUUCGACAACAUAACAAAAUAACGUUUGAAUUUGUACAAUUUAAAAUUUUAAAAUAUAGAUAAAAGGAAAUAUAGUGCAGAAUGAAUGUUCGUUUUUUUUCGGAUUAAUGUUUUUCUAAAAUUAUAAAGAUUUUAGUUUAAAAUAUUUAAUGCAGAAUGAAUGAACACCAAUUCCUUGAAACAAAUCACCGAAUGUUUUGUUUGAAUUCCAAUAAUUUUAAAUUUGAAAAUCUAGAUAAAAAAAAAUAUCAGAAUGAAUGUACAUAACUUUUUUGAUAAAAUAACAUUUUUUUGAGUGCAUGCAUGUAAACUUUUCGGACAAAUCAAAUAUCUGCUUUAAACUUGAAUAGUUUCAAUUUUAAAAAUCUAGAUAAAAGAUGAUACAGUGUAGACUGGAUGUACGUAAAUUUCUUUUAGACAAAUCAACAAAAAAACUGUUUGAAUACAAAUAAUUUUAAAUUGAAAAAUCGGUAAAAGAAAAUAUAGUUUAAGUUAUUUGUCCGAAAGAAAUUUAAAAUUUAAAUAUUUUUUAAAUAAUAGACCGCUCAAUCAGGAUGAUCCCACUUUCUCCAUGAUAAUAUGCACAUGUCAUGGAGAAUAUCUAUUCCCCGUGUAGUUUUCUUAAAUAGAACAAGAUAAAUGAAAGCAUACAAACCGCCCGAAAAAAUAACAACAUACAAACGACCAUUUUUACUCCGAGCAUGAAUAUUGUUUUGUAUACAUGGACAUCUAUAAAAUGCAACCUAUGUUAUUCCAAUUACAAAAAAUAUUUUUUACAAUUUUUAAGCAUUUUUAAAAACUUUGUGUAUUUUUUGUAAGACAUUAUUUUUUUAGUGUCACAAACAACACAAUAUAAGUUGUUUCCUUACAUCAGUUUAUUCCUGCAAGGAAUAACAUGACAAGUUUUUAGUUCUUGUUUAUUAGUUUGUUGGGCUGAUUGUACAUUGUAUUAAAGAAAAAUGGUGUUUUUUGUCUUGUACUCCCUCCGUCCCGAAUUUCUUGUCGGAGAAAUGGAUGCAUCUAGAUGUAUUUUAGUUUUAAGUACAUCCAUUUUUAUUCAUUUCCGCGACAAGUAAUUGCGGACGGAGGGAGUAUCUAAUUAUUUCUGGUCGAGUGGAUAGUUUAGUUAGUUCAUGGAAUGGAGGACGUCGAUCGAAUCCCCUUGACGCUAUUUUCUAUUCUAGUUUUUUGCGAGCACCAUAUGCUGACAGGUGCGUAAGUAAAUAAAAGUUAAGAGUGUUUUCCAAAAGAAAAAAGAUAAUGUUUUGCUUACCCGUCGCUCACUAUUUACGAUCACUGAUAUAUGGGCCACAUUCAUACUAACAAGCCACGUGAGUUCGAAAUAUGGCUGGAUACGAAAAAGUGAUCGUAUAUGCACAUAUAGACAAGCGGUGAGACUGUAAUGACGUACUCCCUCCGUUCUAAAUUUCUUGUCUUAACUUUGUUUAGAAAUGAAUGUAUCUAAAUACUAAAACUUGACUAGAUAUACAUUCAUAUCUAAACAAAUCUAAGACAAAUUUUUUGGAACGGAGGGGGGUAUUUUGCACUUUUAGCACUAAAUGAACAUCCUAUGCACUACUGUUAGAAAUGUUUUUAUACUGUAUUAUGGAAUGGAGGGAGUAACUGUUAAUUUCCUGUUCGAAAACUUAAGUGUUGAUGCGGAGUGUUUCGCGAACCGGCUGGCGGCAAGAAACGGGCAGGGCUACAUGAACAUGAGCGGCCUUUUCCGAGACCAGGAGGCGCUCACUGUCGCCGGCGCUAGAAACAGAGGCAGGCAGCCACACGGGGCCACAGGCCGCAAGAUUCUGCCCCGCAGAGACAAGAUGGUCCCUGAUCUCAUCUCUGACCUCACAUCGUGCGGUGCGGCUGCUACGAGCCCUCCACCGCAGUGGUGGGCGGGGAAUCGUGCUUUUUCCCACCGAAAAAGACGUCCAGGUUCAACGUACCCACACGAACCGGGGUCAAUCCAGCGCCCCACCCGUCGCACCUACGCAUCUCGGCCGCCUCCCAUGCGCUCGCCUCCCUCCCAAUAAACAAACAAGCCCGUCGGCUCGGCGUCCCACCUGUCACCGACAGGCGGGCCCCGCACCCACGGAGCCCACUUGUCAUCCCUUGCCGCUCGACGCGUGGCCGCCACGGUCGUCAGGCCUGAUGCUCGCCGCAGCCGAUCCCCUCUGCCCACCUCCUCGUUCCGCCUGAGCCCCGCGCAUGCACCCGCACCCACCUGCCAAGGCGCGCGCACUUUGUCCUGGCCCGUCUGGUCUAGUGGUCUACGGUACGCCGAGCGCACGGGAGCGCUCAUCCCGGGUGGGCCAGGGCGGCCGUGCCCGCCCCCCCCCCAUCGGAAGAGCNCCCCCCAUAAAGCCCCCGCGGCCCGUCGUCACGGCCCCUCGACCCAGCCAAGCGCCCGCAGCAGCAAAAAUCCAUCACUCGCACUCCUCUCGCCGCGCAUCCCCCCCUCCAUCCCUGCGUUCCGGCCGGUUCCUGCCGCGGCGAUGUCGGCGGCGGUGGGCGGCGCCGAGUUCCAUGGUUUCGGGGGCGCCGCGCAGCUCCCGAGGUCCCGGAUGCUCGGGCGCCCCGUCAGGGUGGCGCCGCCCGGGGCCACACCGGCUGGCGGCGGCGGGCCCUCGGCGGCCAGCAUUCGCGCCGUUUCCACGGUGAGUUUUCUGGUGUGGCGGGGCGGCGGGCGCGUUCGAGUUUAGGGUUUUCUUCGUUUUCGCGGGGGAGGUUUUUUCGGGCCUCGCCCGUCGGGAAUGGAAUUCAUCAGGUUUUGAGGGCAGUUUAACCGACCCCGGUUUCAUGAAAUUGAUGGGAUUAGGUUUCGUUAUACUAAUUCAUCUUUGUACUGUACUAUGUUUCGGUGAGGGCUAGCCACUGGUGUGAAACCAGAUCAGUCAAGCGUUGAUUUCGGAAUCCCCAUCGCCCAGGGCAACACUCACUGACUGCCUCUGUCAUUGAUAGGAACUGAAUCCAUUUUAAAUACAGUAGUACACGAUCACACUUAUCUUACUUAGCUGCUUACUCCUGAAAUGUUCAUUGAUAAAUCGCUUUUAGAGUAUUAUACUGGUAGUCGCUGAAUAGGAAAAAACACUAUGCAAUGAUGCACGACUGCUGCUAUCCGAUGCUCUGAAUUCUGAAACCUUUUGCCGUUCCUGCAGCCCCUGAAGAAGGAUGCGUCGCAAGUUAAGCGAAGCAAGGUCGAAAUAAUCAAGGAGAAGAGCAAUUUUCUUCGCUACCCUUUGAAUGAGGAGCUGGUCUCAGAGGCUCCCAACGUCAACGAAACUGCUGUCCAGCUGAUUAAGUUCCAUGGAAGCUAUCAGCAGAGCGACCGGGAAGUCCGUGGCCAGAAGAAUUACUCGUUUAUGCUCCGGACAAAGAAUCCUUCCGGAAAAGUUCCGAACCAGCUUUACUUGGCUAUGGAUACACUGGCUGAUGAGUUUGGGAUUGGAACGCUCCGUCUGACAACCAGGCAAACAUUUCAGCUGCACGGCGUUCUUAAGAAGAACUUGAAGCAUGUCAUCAGCACUGUGAUUAAGAAUAUGGGAUCAACCUUAGGUGCUUGUGGAGAUCUCAAUAGGAAUGUGCUUGCACCUGCCGCACCAUACGUGAGAAAAGAUAUUCUUUUUGCUCAAGAAACAGCAGAGAAUAUUGCAGCACUUCUCGCUCCACAGUCAGGGGCUUAUUAUGACCUGUGGGUGGAUGGAGAGAAGAUAAUGUCAGCGGAAGAACCACCUGAGGUCACCAAAGCCCGGAAUGAUAACUCACAUGGAACAAACUUCCCUGAUUCUCCUGAGCCAAUCUACGGGACCCAGUAUCUGCCCAGGAAGUUCAAGAUUGCGGUCACAGUUGCUGGUGAUAACUCUGUUGAUAUUCUGACGAAUGACAUCGGUGUUGUUGUAGUUUCAGAUAGUGCAGGGGAGCCUGUUGGCUUUAACCUCUAUGUAAGUGCCAAAGAAAAUUCUGCUCCAUCUUGUACUGCAUUUAGCAAUGCUUACCUUUUUUUUUUAUCUAUCCCAAUUUUUCAGGUUGGAGGUGGCAUGGGAAGGACACACAGAAUAGAAACCACAUUCCCUCGGCUGGCUGAUCCACUUGGUUAUGUUCCUAAGGAGGAUAUAUUAUAUGCUAUAAAGGCAAUAGUUGUUACACAGAGGGAAAAUGGAAGAAGAGAUGACCGCAGGUAUAGCAGACUGAAGUAUCUGCUUGACAGCUGGGGAAUCGACAAGUUCCGGGCUGAAGCUGAAAAAUAUUAUGGGAAGAAGUUUGAAGAUUUCCGUCCAUUACCGGAAUGGCAGUUCAACAGCUACCUUGGGUGGCAGGAGCAGGUAUAAUUCCCCAUCAUAAUUAUCUUGGUCAAGAUGUGGCAAAGAAAUUUUGGAAGAAAUUAUUUACCUUGUUUAGGGAGGAUUGCUGAUAUUUUCAUACAAAAUUUCCGUUUGUCAUUUUUAAUUUAGUUUACUUCCUCGAUGCUUCAAAUUUUGACUUGGCUUGCAUAUUUAUUUGUUCUCUUGCUGUAGUCUGCAUAAGAGCAUUUGAUAAAUCCUGGCAUAUCUCUCAUAUGUUUGUUCGUUCACAACAUUCAUAUAUCAAUUGGUUAUUUUAUGAAAUUUAGGUUUUCAUUUGUUUUUCUCUAUAUUGUUUAUUGCAGGGUGAUGGUAAAUUAUUCUAUGGAGUGCAUGUUGAUAAUGGUCGUCUUGGGGGGCAAGCAAAGGAAACUCUGCGAGAGAUAAUUGAGAAGUAUAACUUGGAUGUUAGCAUUACUCCAAACCAAAACCUUAUCUUAUGUGGGGUUGAUCAGGCAUGGAGAGAACCAAUAACUGCAGCUCUUGCUCAAGCUGGUCUGUUGGUAAGAUUUCUUUCGUCCAUUUCAUAUCCCUACCCUGUGAUGUGGAGUAUACACUUAUUAAGUUGAUAUUAUUAUUAGGGCACUGUAAAUUAUUCUAUCUUGAAAUUAUCCGUGCUGCAUCUGCUGUUCCAAUUGAUAAUGUUGGUCAUAUUGUUACUCUUCCCUAUAUACUGAUUCGUUCUUCUCACAUUGAAAAAUUGAACGCAAGGCUGGUUAUUAAAUUUAGAAAUGAAAAACUGCAAGGCUUUCCUAUAUAUAUUGUCUGGAGCACAACAGGGUGAUCUUUUUCUCCUCACUAAAAAUUGGGUAUUCAUAUAUGUAGGAACCAAAGGAUGUUGAUCUCCUGAACAUAACCUCCAUGGCAUGCCCUGCCUUACCUCUGUGCCCUCUCGCACAAACAGAAGCUGAACGAGGGAUCCUACCG
RNAcentral lists this long non-coding RNA (55042 nucleotides) under Hordeum vulgare. RNAcentral describes it as "long non-coding RNA (HVUL_LNC001846)". The stretch from base 34098 to 34169 matches the Rfam family "tRNA". The record is from RNAcentral. Lineage: Eukaryota; Viridiplantae; Streptophyta; Magnoliopsida; Poales; Poaceae.